RNAcentral lists this long non-coding RNA (79811 nucleotides) under Hordeum vulgare. RNAcentral describes it as "long non-coding RNA (HVUL_LNC007743)". Lineage: Eukaryota; Viridiplantae; Streptophyta; Magnoliopsida; Poales; Poaceae. The record is from RNAcentral.
UUGGAAGAAGAAUGACUCCGUGAAGCAGACGAACCGAUGUAGUCGAUGGGUCCUCACAAUCCGGCACGCUGCGGAACUCUAACGAGGCGAAGCAAACCGGAAACACAAAUCAACACACAUAAUUCACCAUACGAUGCAACAACACAAAUGAUGCAUGAGCAGCUGAAUACAUGCAAGACACGGCAUGACAAUUCACACAAUCAAACACUACACAUUAAGCGAAGUUCAAUAUGCAACGAGUUGCAUACGAAACUCCACAUUUGAUUGUUUAGUUCACUCCCGAUUAGAUACACGGCAAUAUUAAAUGUGGUUAAACAUGACAAGAGGUGAAGCGGUGAUUCUACGUGUCAUCCUAGACGGUUAACACGUGGAACAAAGAACGGAGCUACAUUCAAGAGACAUGCACAACAGGAAGCACUAAAUAAAUGAUGCAUGGAUGCACAAUCCCUAACUGUGCUCUUACUCCAACCUACAAGGUAACCAAGUGUCACCUCAUCACAAAGUGACACUUCUGCGGAACUAAUCAGAAUUGGAAAACUAGUGUCUCCAUUGGAUUCCUUGGGUUCUCCUACCCCAAAUCCAUAUAUAACACUGCUAUAAAGGCGUGCGGAAAAACACCAGAAACAACAAAGGAAAAACUACACAGGAUCAAACUACGCUAAUAACAAGAACAGGGGUUGUUCUUGAUAUGCCGGAUUUGGCAUAUUCCUCUUCUGGAAUAUCCCAGAUUUGGAAAUACAUCACAAAACUAAACAAAACAAAAAAACAUAUAAACAUCAGGGGGGUCCCACUGGUCAUACUCACCAGGGCCCCUAAUUGGUGUAUGCAAGUAGGCCAAACCCCCACAAUACACACACACCCCAACUACUGCACCACACACCUAAAAGAAGAAAAAAAAAAUGGAGUGCAGGGGGAUUUGAACCCUGAACCUAGGGUACCCUAUGAAAAACUCCAAACCACUAAGCUACUGCAAUGCAGCUAACCCCAGAUGAGGACUUAAAAUAGAUAAACUAACUCUACUGCUACUGCAACACGGGAAAAACGGGAUAAACAAAAGGGGGCGCCGGCAGGUUUUGAUCCCUGGACCUCACAGUUGCUACCGAGUGCGCUAACCAGCUGGGCUAGGUGGAUGUCUUGUGGAAAAAGAGACUCCUAUGCUACAUGAACAAGCACCACACCGAACCUGAACCAAAAAAUCAAACAAACAGCAAAAUAAGCAGGGUUGUCUGGGAUUCGAACCCCAGACCCCUGGGAUGAAACAGAGUGGUGCUAGCCAGCUCGGCUGCUGGCGUGAUCAUGAUAUUAGUGACAUGGAAAUCCUAGUAAGGCCGACAAUUAGAAUGCAUCUGGGCAAAACGAAGCACAGUUCAGAACAGGGCGUUCUUACAGCAGACACACGAAACCGGCGGGGAUACAUGCUACCAUCAGUGCUUGGGCUUCGGCGCUGAAGGUACCAGCAAGGCGGAGGCUUGGGGAUGGGCGUUGGGUCACGGAUCCGUCCGCAGGGACCCGAUUCCACGCGACGGCGAGCUAGACUCGGGCCCAGGGGUUCCCAUGGCUGCUGCUCCUGGUUCAGAUAAGUUCAGAGAAAAACAUAUAAGAGAGAGAGAGAGCGGGAAUCAACAUGAGGAGGAAGGAGAGCAGGAAGGAGAGGGGAACGGGAGAGGUUCUGGCCUGGAGCGGCUUCUGGUGGUGGGGUCACCGAUUCCGACCUCCGGCGAGGGCACGAGGCGGCGGGGCUGUGGGGCUCAUGCAUGAAUGUUCAGAACGACGCACAUGAGGGAGCUCGAGGUGGGCUCGCUUGCUGCAGAAGGAGACAUCCCUGCGCGCUACACCGGUGCAGAGCAGCGGGCUCGCGCGGGCGGACGCGACCAGACGCGCAGGGGAAGGGGGAGCUCUUAGCGCAGCUGGUUCCCUGGAGAGAGAGGGAUUAGGGAGAGAAGAAAGGAAUAAAACAGAGGAAGGAGAAGACCGGGCAUGGCAUGGACCUGCGGUGCGGCUUCCAUGGGCGUCGGAUGCUGCUGCUCCUGCUCCAUGCUUGAGACGGCACUGCAGCUGGAGGAGCUCCUCGUACGUGGGGUUGGGGGUCGAUUUCGAACCGACCGUGGCGAGCACGAAGGAGGCCGGGGGCGCUCAGACAGAGCUCGCCGGAUGUGGCGAAAGCGGGGGCUCCAGCAUCGUGGAUCGAGCGAGGCUCGAGCGCAUGGGUGCUGCCGGGCACGGGGCAUGGCUCCGAUGGCUGGCUGCAUCUGGGGAUCCCGAGGUAGAAGACAACAGGUGGCGGCGCUGAUGCGAGAUGGAGGGGAUUGGCUCGGUGGGGAAACUGAGAGAGGAGGAGACCAAGUGUUGUGUGGCGGCGGCGGAUGGGACACGGGAAUUUGUCCCUAAAUUUUAGGGUUGGCAUGGUUGAUNUAUAUAAACUAGCUCAGGACCCUUUGAUUUAAUUAGACGGUCGGAAAUAGGCAGGUUAGGGAGUCCAGUGGACAAAUCGAUGAAGAUUUGCGGUAAAACGGGGUUGAUCCGGACCCAACGGUUACGACUGUGUGUUUCGGGCACCGGGAGGUUUCGGACUGGGCUGCGCGUAGGGGUGGUGCACUGCGCAGAGGCACUAGGCGGAGAUGACAGAGAAAAACGGGCAACCCGGUGACAGAGUUUAAAAUACCAAAACGUCCGACAAUCGACCGGCUAUAGUGCCGCUAUAUAAUAAACGACACGGGUGACAAACGGGCUCUGACCGCGAUGAAAUUUGACGGACGGCCUACCUACACUAAAUUAAUACCGCACGACAAAUUCCAACCGGAUCAGAGGAAGUUUAACGCACACUUUAAAAACAGGGUUUCGACGGUGCCGCGCGCGCGUGCGAGUGCGGUCGGACUCAGAACGGACAACGUCGAGAACCGGCAACUACUAACGGAUGCAAGUUUUGAAAACUGGCGGCAACGGAGAUGCCGAUGCAAUGCAGAUGAUGCGCAUGAUGCGAUGAUGGUGCGACAAAUAUAAAUAGACACACGACGAAAACGGAAAGAGAGGGGAAUCUUCUGGAAUGUCGGCAUCGGGCUGUCACAACUCUCCUACACUACAAGAGGAUCUCGCCCCGAGAUCCAAGAAUGAAAGGGGGAGAGGAUGAGAAAGAAUAGGGGGGUAAGAACUUAGUCGCUUCUUUGACAAACGAGUGAAAACAACGAUCCCUGAAGGUUGCAAAGCGAUGAGGAAUGAUAUGGGAAAGAAGCAAGAAUUCACGGAAAAUUUCGGCAGCACUUCGGUAGGAAAAUGGGACAAUUUUUUUCCGAAAAGGUGGAAGAAUUAGACAAUAUUCACAACCAACAAGUAAAUAGAACAAGGUAACACCAUGAUCUGGUAGAACCACAAGAUUGACCCAAAAGAGCAACAUCACAAUGCCUCCGGAACAAUAGAAUAGGAACUAGCUCAUACGGAAGAAGAGAAUGAAGAGAGAAUGACAACUACUAACUCCAAUGAACUUGACAAGCAUCCUUGCAAGAAGAAUUGGACGGAGUUGUUGGAAAACAACAACGAAAGAACAAGAUAGUAGUGGGCUUACGAAAAUCAUCUCAACAAAUAUGAGGUGACAACCAACCACUAAAAAAAACAAGGAUAACUUGGGAGAAACAAAAUAAGAACAAUUCUUACACCAAGAGGAUACAUUGAGAACUUGGAUUAAUGACAAGCACCAUGAUAGCAACCAUCCAUAGGAAAAGCUUUAGGUGAAAUCCAAACUAAGAUAGCUCAAUUAAGAAAUCAUGGGUUAAGGAUAAUCUCAUUAUCAAAGGAUUGGUGGAUUUAGUUAUCUCAUUCUUGAAAGGAAAUCUCUUCGAGGCUCCUACACUAACAAGAAGGCUAUAAUACCACCUCAAAGGAUAAAGGAAGAACAAUUGCACCGAAAUGCAAGGGAAAGAAUGCUUGAGGUACUCCAACAAGAAUCUUGAAGAACACAUGAGAAUGAAUCACAUCCUUGAUGAACCACGAAGAAGGACCUCCGUAUACAAAUGAACGAUGCAAAGAUAUGAAGGUAGAAAAGACUAAGAUUAUGACCUUUCCAAGAUUUAGAUGAAGCUUCACAAAGAGAUACUUAAAAGAACUUGGAACUCCGGAAAACAAAGAUAGCACACGAGAAAAGAAUUGAAACCAUGAGCCACUCCGGAAGAAGAAUUCAGAUUACUUAUGAACAAGAAUGAGAAUUAUGUUAUGCUUAUCCUUCAUCAAGUUUAAUUGAUGACAAGCAGCGGAUUUAGCAUAUCACUUAUUCUACUAGAAAUGAAUCUUGAAGAGACAGAGAGCUAAGCACCACUUGAAGAAAAAUUGAAGUAAGCACCGGUAAGAAUUCACAAUUGAAUGGGAACACCACGAAUUAAUGAAGAUACAUGAAAAUGAAGAGGUCAUGAGCCACCUGAGAGAAAACUUGAACAAAGCACCGGAUAAUCGAGAGACGAACGAAGGGACAAUAAUUAAGAAGAAUUGAGGAUGAAGUUGAAAGCUGAGAACGAAAAAGUCUUCUUAAAUGAUGGCCUUCGGAGGAUCGAGAAUGAAAACAACUCAGAAAAGCACCGGAUAGCACGAAAGGGAUUGCUCAUGAUAGAAACAAUUGAGAGGAAAACACGAAGCUGAGAUGAUAAUCUUCACAAGAAUGGAGCAAGAUUGAGAAUGAUGACGAGAAACAACCCACGAAUAACUGAGACACUCCGGAAUAAGAAAAAUGCAAGGUUGAGCCAAAUAUGAGAGUUAAUUCAAAUUGAUCUUGAAGAAGGAAUAUGACUGAUGAAAAUCAUACUUACGUCAUAGUUGAAAAGAAUUAAAGAUCUCCGGAAAAGAUUAAAGAGCCAGGUAAGAUCCUGGGAAAGAAUCUGUGGGUUAUGGGCCCACACAAGAAACCACCGUUGAAGAGAUUACUAGAACGGGAGAUAUUGCACCGGUGAAAAGAAAACUAGAUGAGGUUGAGCACCUCGAAAGAAUUAAAAGAAUUGAAAACACGAAACUUCCGAGAUAUCUUCAACACUCCGGAUGAAAAGAGAGGAAUGAAUACCCAAGAUAGCCUGAAAGAAUCUCCAACAUGAAAAAUAUUUACAAGGAUAAAUAGGAUAUGAAGAACACGGAUAGCCGAAUUAAAUUCACCGGUAAGGAUGACAAGAAUGAACAAAGAUGAACACGAAGCUCCUGAGAAUCUUCACAACGAAUCACCGGAUACGAGAGAAAAGAACACAUAGCGGAAGCACAAUGAAAAGAAACUCUUGGAUGGAAAUUGAAUCACUGAGAAAAGGGCGGGAGGGCGGGAAAAACAAAGACGACUUGGAACAGAUGAGAUGAACUCCGGUAAAAAGAGAGAAUGAUCUUGCAAAAUAGGAGAGGAUGGAUUCAGUUGCAGAGAAGCACACCGGUUGAAUGGAAUUGAUACGAUGACUCCGGUUUAAAAGGAAUUGACAUGACAAUCGAUAAAGCAAAAGAACUAAUACUCUCAUAAAAUAUGAGAACACCUCUUAGAAAAGAUCUGAAAUCACCACUUGACAUCGAAGCAACACGAAUUACCACAUUAAAACAAAACAAAGGGUAAGGCUUAUGAAACAAGCCAGAACAAACUCAUGAGAAAGAUUUCUGUUCGAUAUUUUCGUGGACAGGAUCGCACGGGCACGAUUUACAGUAGCCAUCAAGUGCAAGGCAGUGCACCUGACAUACGAAGCGUCCCCGAGUCGUAGCAAGCUACAAGGACUCUUUAAGACACAACGUGUACCGCUGUAAGUUGACCGUAGCGAGGCACACAUCGUGUUGUUGCCAUCAAGGGUAAAAAGAUGGGGUCUUCAUCAUUGGUUUGAGAUUAUCCCUCUACAUCAUGUCAUCUUGCUUAAGGCGUUACUGUGUUCGUCGUGAACUCAAUACACUAGAUGCAUGCUGGAUAGCGGUCGAUGUGUGGAGUAAUAGUAGUAGAUGCGGAAAGUAUCGGUCUAUUUGUCUCGGACGUGAUGCCUAUAUGUAUGAUCAUUGCCUUAGAUAUCGUCAUGACUUUGCGCGGUUCUAUCAAUUGCUCGAUAGUAAUUUGUUCACCCACCGUAAUACUUGCUAUUAUGAGAGAAGCCUCUAGUGAACACUAUGGACCCCAGGGUCUACUCCACACCAUAUUUUCAGCCUUACACUUUUUACUUCGUUGCACUUUCCGCCUUCAGAUCUCACUUUCCAAACAAUCUUGAAGGGAUUGACAACCCCUUUAAAGCAUUGGGUGCAAGCUUGUUUGUGUUUGGGCAGGUACUCCGGACUUGACGAGGCCCUCCUUCUGGAUCGAUACCUUGGUUCUCAAACUGAGGGAAAUACUUACUGCUCCUAUGCUGCAUCACCCUUUCCUCUUCAAGGGAAAAACCAACGCAAACGAGAGAAGUAACAAGAAGAAUUCCUAGCGCCAAGGAAGGACUUUUGUUGCCACAGAAGGUACCUAUUACCUUUGGGACUACUUUCAUAGCAUAAGCCAACUACCAAGUCACGCACCGCCGUGCUCUAAAAGAUGUAAGUGAAGCACAUGGAGCAAAAUUAUGUAGCUCAAAAGAUAUAAGUGAAGCACUAUGAGCAUUCUAGCAAAAUCACGAUGAGUGCAUGUCUCUCUCUCUCAAAAAGGUUUGCAGCAAGGAUGAUUGUUACACAACAAAAAGAAAAGACUCCUACGGUACAAGACGCUCCAAGCAAAACACAUAUCAUGUGGUGAAUAAAAAUAUAGCUCCAAGUAAUGUUACCGAUGGAUUGAAGACGAAAGAGGGGAUGCUUUCCCGGGGCAUCCCUAAGCUUAGGCUUUUUGGUGUCCUUGAAUUUUGCUUGGAAUGCCUUGGGCAUCCCCAAGCUUGAGCUCUUUCCACUCCUUAUCUCUUUGUCCAUGAGAACAUCACCCAAAACUUGAAAACUUCCCAACACAAAACUUAAACAGAAACUCGUGAUAUCAUUAGCACAAGAAAACAAACUACCACCUCUUUAGGUACUGCAGCAAUCUUGAUUUAUAUUUAUAUUGGUGUUGGGAUAUUGUAUUCCCACUUUUCCAUGGCUAGUACCCCCCGAUACUAACCAUAGUUUCAUCAAAACAACCAACCAACUCAACAAAAACAGAAUCUGUCAAAAACAGACCAGUCUGUAGCAAUCUGUAUACUUCGUAUACUUAUGGUACCUCACAAAUUCUGACAAAUUACGAGUGCCUGGGCAAAAGGCAUAUCAACCAUCAACAAAAAGAAUCAACUUAAAAGCUCUUUCUGAAUAAAAAUGAAAAUUCAUCUCGUGAGCGAAAAGUUUCUGUCUUUCUUCAGCAGGAUCAAACAACCAUUACCAAGACUAGUCAUAAAGGUUUUGCUUGGCUCAAACACAAAAAGAAACACAAAAAACACAAUCAUAACAGAAUUAUGAUGGUGUGGACGCAACAAAACAGAAAGAAAAAUAUAAAUUCAUUGGGUUGCCUCCCAACAAGCGCUAUUGUUUAACGCCCUUAGCUAGGCAUUGAUAAUUCAGUGAUGCUCACAUAAAAGAUAGCAAUCGGACACGAAGGGAGCAUCAUGAAACAUGUGACAAACAUAUCUAAGUCUAACAUACUUCCUAUGCGUAGGCAUUUUAUAUGAAAACAGAUUGUCAAGACAACCAAUAGUUACCAUAUGCAAGGAAGAAGAAAGAGACAAUAUCAAUAUCAACAUAACGAGAGGUGAUUUGGUAACAUGAAAGUUUCUACCACAAUAUUUUCCUCUCUCAUAGCAAUUACAUGUGGGAUCAUAAUCAAAUUCAACAAUGUAACUAUCACAUAGGAUAUUCUUUUCAUGAUCCACAUGCAUGCAAAGUUGACGCUCUUCAAAAAUAGUGGGAUUAUCAUCAACUAAAGUCAUGACUUCUCCAAACCCACUUUCAAUAAUAUUGCAAAUAUCAUAUUCAUCAUGAGGCUUAAACAAAUUUUCAAGAUCAUAAGAAAAAUCAUCGCCCCACUCAUGAUCAUUGCAACAAGUAGUGGGCAUAGCAAAACUAGCAUCCCCAAUGUCGUGGUUAUAAGUCUGACAAUAGAAAGGGGGUAAGAUAACGGAGCAUGAUCUAUCAAGAUGCACAUGGGUGACACGGUGGUGUUAGCGAGUUCAGGCCUCUCACAGUGGAGAUAACAACCCUACGUCUCGUGCUCCGGAGAGGCUUUGUUUUAUCUGUCAUGGACAUGAGUUACAUGGUGUAGAGAGAGUCAGAGCUCCAGGGAAGGAAUGAGCCCGCAGGGGGAGAAGAAGAAGAAGAUGUCCCUAGCUAUGUGGAGGGGGGUGGCUUAUAUAGAGUGCGCCACCUCCUCACCUCUUAUGUUGGUAUUUGCAUGCCCGAGUGAGUAGUACGUUCGAGUGAACUUAAGAAUUGAAGUUGAUCCGAGUGACCAACAGGAUCUUGAGACUCUGACUGACUGCUGGUAGUCGGUUCGAAUCUGUUGAAUCUGUUGAACUUGGAUGUUGUUGGUGGACCUGACCAAGCAGAAUGUUUUUUUGUUUUUCUCUUCUAGUGGGGGCACGCUAAGUGCACCCACCUGGUGUAGUCCCCGAGCCUCUGUUGGACUAGAUGAGUCCGGCAGAGGGUUUAAGUCAUCCAAAGCUCGUCAUGUUGAAUGUUUGUUGUAUCUGCAUUAUAUGAUUUCUAGAUCAAAGUCAAGUCUCUAAGAGUGGAGAGGCGAUACGGAGUCGCAACUAAGUCCUCAAGUGUGGAGCAUGUCCGCACUCGGAGUUGUUUUUAACUUAGGCGAUACGGAGUCGCAGCUAAGUCCCCGAGUGUGGAGCAUGUCGGCACUCGAAGUUGGUUUUCACUUAGGCGAUACGGAGUCGCAGCUAAGCCCCSKAGUGUGGUAGCGAUGUACGCACUCAGAGUUGUUUUUAACUUAGGCGAUACAGAGUCGCAGCUAAGUCCCCGAGUGUGGAGCAUGUCCGCACUCAGAGUUGUUUUUAACUUAGGAGAUACAGAGUCGCAGCUAAGUCCCCAAGUGUGGAGCAUGUCCGCACUCGGAGUUGUUUUUAACUUUAGGCGAUACGGAGUCGCAGCUAAGCCCCCGAGUGUGGAGCAUGUCCGCACUCAGAGUUGUUUUUAACUUAGGCGAUACGGAGUCGCAGCUAAGUCCACCGAGUGUGGAGCAUGUCCGCACUCAGAGUUGUUUUUAACUUAGGCGAUACGGAGUCGCAGCUAAUGUUGGAAUUAUGCCCUAGAGGCAAUAAUAAAUGUAUAGUUAUUAUUAUAAUUCCUGUAUCAAGAUAAUAGUUUAUUAUCCAUGCUAUAAUUGUAUUGAAUGAAGACUCAUUUACAUGUGUGGAUACAUAGACAAAACACCGUCCCUAGCAUGCCUCUAGUUGGCUAGCCAGUUGAUCGAUGAUAAUCAGUGUCUUCUGAUUAUGAACAAGGUGUUGUUGCUUGAUAACUGGAUCACGUCAUUAGGAGAAUCACGUGAUGGACUAGACCCAAACUAAUAGACGUAGCAUGUUGAUCGUGUCAUUUUGUUGCUACUGUUUUCUGCGUGUCAAGUAUUUAUUCCUAUGACCAUGAGAUCAUAUAACUCACUGACACCGGAGGAAUGCUUUGUGUGUAUCAAACGUCGCAACGUAACUGGGUGACUAUAAAGAUGCUCUACAGGUAUCUCCGAAGGUGUUAGUUGAGUUAGUAUGGAUCAAGACUGGGAUUUGUCACUCCGUGUGACGGAGAGGUAUCUCGGGGCUCACUCAGUAAUACAACAUCACACACAAGCCUUGCAAGCAAUGUAACUUAGUGUAAGUUGCGGGAUCUUGUAUUACGGAACGAGUAAAGAGACUUGCCGGUAAACGAGAUUGAAAUAGGUAUGCGGAUACUGACGAUCGAAUCUCGGGCAAGUAACAUACCGAAGGACAAAGGGAAUGACAUACGGGAUUAUACGAAUCCUUGGCACUGAGGUUCAAACGAUAAGAUCUUCGUAGAAUAUGUAGGAUCCAAUAUGGGCAUCCAGGUCCCGCUAUUGGAUAUUGACCGAGGAGUCUCUCGGGUCAUGUCUACAUAGUUCUCGAACCCGCAGGGUCUGCACACUUAAGGUUCGACGUUGUUUUAUGCGUAUUUGAGUUAUAUGGUUGGUUACCGAAUGUUGUUCGGAGUCCCGGAUGAGACCACAUACGUCACGAGGGUUUCCGGAAUGGUCCGGAAACGAAGAUUGAUAUAUAGGAUGACCUCAUUUGAUUACCGGAAGGUUUUCGGAGUUACCGGGAAUGUACCGGGAAUGACGAAUGGGUUCCGGGGGUUCACCGGAGGGGGGCAACCCACUCCGGGGAAGCCCAUAGGUAUUUGUGGGGGUCACACCAGCCCUUAGUGGGCUGGUGGGACAGCCCACUAAAUCCUAUGCGCCAAGGAAUAAAAAUCAAAGGAAGAAAGAAAAAAAARGAGGGGAAGUGGGAAGGGGGAAGGACUCCCUCCCACCAAACCAAGUAGGACUCGGUUUGGGGGGGGGGAGAGUCCUCCCCCCUGGCUCGGCCGACCCCCUUGGAGUCCCUUGGACUCCAAGGCAAGGUCCCCCUCCCUCCUCCUAUAUAUAUGGGGCUUUUAGGGCAGAUUUGAGACGACUUUCUCACGGCUGCCCGACCACAUACCUCCAUAGUUUUUCCUCUAGAUCGUGUUUCUACGGAGCUCGGGCGGAGCCCUGCUGAGACAAGAUCAUCACCAACCUCCGGAGCGCCGUCACGCUGCCGGAGAACUCUUCUACCUCUCCGUCUCUCUUGCUGGAUCAAGAAGGCCGAGAUCAUCGUCGAGCUGUACGUGUGCUGAACGCGGAGGUGCCGUCCGUUCGGUACUAGAUCGUGGGACUGAUCGCGGGAUUGUUCGCGGGGCGGAUCGAGGGACGUGAGGACGUUCCACUACAUCAACCGCGAUCUCUAAUCGCUUCUGCUGUACGAUCUACAAGGGUACGUAGAUCACUCAUCCCCUCUCGUAGAUGGACAUCACCAUGAUAGGUCUUCGUGCGCGUAGGAAAAUUUUUGUUUCCCAUGCGACGUUCCCCAACAAAAUGACCACCGUACAUGGGCACAUGCAAUAUUUUUGUAUCAAUUACAGAUGAAAAUGAUAAGGUUGCUAACCUCGGUCGAGGAUACCAUUUUGUGUGAACUUAAGUGUGACUCAGGCAUUAGUCCCGGUUCGUAAUAUACUCUGAAGUGCGUCGGUCAUCGUACAUCCAUUGACGGUUCAUCUAUAUUAUGAAAUUAAGUAUAUAAAAACCAUUGGUGAACAUCACGAAUAGAGAAAUGACCAAAUUAAUACAAGUUCAUCAUCACAUUAAACCAAAGUACAUUAGUGAUCAAAUGUUAUUAUUGCAAAAAUAAAUACAUAAAGUUCUCUCAUAAAACAACAUACAACUAUGUAAAACAUUUAAAUGCAACAACAAAUGCGAUCAAAAUCGCAACUAAGGUAACAAUUGACCCAACAACAUAAUGAUACGAAGCCUCUUUAUCAAUGGCAUAUUUUUUAAUAUUCAUAAUCUUCAGGCGCAUUGCAUCCAUCUUCAAGUGCAUUACAUCCAUCUUCAACCGCAUUGCAUCCAUCUUCAUCUUGUGAUCAUCGAUGACAUCGGCAACAUGCAACUCCAGUUUCAUAUUCUUCUCCUCAAUUAUUUUCAGUUUUUCUUCAAGUAAUUGUUUUAUUUUUCAACCAAAUUUAACUUCUCAACAAGAAUUUCUAUGUCGGUUGGAAUUUCUGGUUCACAUACCUCCUAGAUUAAAAAUUCUAUGUCACGUUGGUCGGCAUAAUUGGCAUAAACACUAAAUAAAACAAAUAGUUAUAAAAGAUAAUAUAUACCACAUCCGAAUCAUAGACAGGACGAGGGCUGACGGAGGCGGAUACCAAAACCAUCGCGCUAUAUAAUACAAAAAAUAAUAAAAGUAAGUAAUUUAUACAAGUAUCUAUCUAAAUCAUACAAGUAAGUUUUUUUCCUUUUAAAAAGAAUAUAAGAACAAGAGGCUCACCACGGUGGUGCUGGCGACGAGAUCGGCUCGGGCGACCGACAACGGUGAGGACGAACACGGGACGACACCCUACACAUGUGCACACUCUAAGAAGUUAAUUUGAGCUCAAAUUUUGCAUCUAAAUCAAAAGACUCCCACAUACACUCCUACACUAAAACCCACAAACCACUCUACUUCUAGAGCAUUUGAAAUGAGCUAAACUAGCAGCGAGAGAUGAGAGGAUGAAGUAGCUAACCUUUAGAACACUUGUGUAGUUGGUGCACCGUCAAACCUAGACAAAUCUUGAGGAAAAUAGAGCUUGGAGAUGUCGAGCUUGGAGAGGAGAAAGCUUAAGUGUGGCUCGGGCAUUUCAUCGAACACCUCAUGUGUAUGCAUAGAAGGGUGGAAGAGCACGUCAUGCACACCUCACACAACCAAAAAACAGAGGAGAGGGUGGGCAUGUAUAUAUAGGCAUCUCUUUGGUCCCGGUUAAUGGACAGAACCGGGACAGAAGACCAACCAUUAGUCCCGGUUCCAGCCCCCAACCGGGACUAAUGCUCCGCGGCACGUCACAUGUCAGUCGCUGGAUCUUUAGUCCCUUUUUUUGGCACGAACCGGGACUAAUGCGUCGAACCGAACCGGGACUGUUGCCCCGCGAGGCCCUGGCAGCUCGAACCGGGACCAAUGCCUCGCAUUGGUCUCGGUUUUAUUUCGACCCGGGGCUAAUGUGAUUUGGGGCUGCGGCUGAAAGCCUCAUUUUCUAUUAGUGGACUACACCAACUUCUACAAGCUUCUCGGCAUGUAGAGGGCGGUGACGGUGUAGUAGUGUUUAAAUUUCGUUUAAAAUUAUGUUUUUAGUUCAGCUUCUACAAAUAGCAAUAAAAAUGCUGAAUCUUCUUUAAAUUUGUGUCAUUUUUGAUCGAAUCUAGGCUGAGUUUGAUUCUAAAAAACCCGGUUGGGGGCGACUUUGGGGGGCGUCUCGACCUCCCUAUCUUUUUUUUCGCUGGUGUGCCCCUAGGCGGCGUUAUUUCAAGCUCUUGGGUGCCGAAACGGCCGGAGAUGCUCUAACUAGUUAGGCGGAGUAAGAUAUGAAACGAGGUGUAUGUAAAGAGUGAAAAUAGCAAAAACGAGUAAUAGUGGACGGGAGCUAGGGAGAUUGGUAUUCAAAUACCAUAUUUCUACAUCGCCACGAUAUAAGGAAAAUGUGUGUAUACAAACACAUGUAUACCAUGCACAUGCACAUUUUUUCAACAAUAUAUUUUCAUGCAUAGCAUACACAAAAAGAGAUAAAUACAUACAUGACAAUAGGCCGGCUCCUUUUGUCGUUGGGCCAACAUUUUUUGUGUUGCCUACAAAACACUAUAUAUUUUGAUGAAGAUUUACAUGUCUGUAUUUUCAAAAAAACUAUUUUUUUAACCAUGAAAUACACUUUUUGGCCCUUUUUUCAUAAUACCGGGCUUCAUGGAUCAUGGUAGCCGAAAAUCCGCACUUGUGGAAAAAGUGGGAACACAAAUCAUGUAAUUGUUGGACAUAAUUUUUUAACAAAUAUUUGAAAAUCUGGCAUGUUAGACAACGGGAGUAUGAGAAAAAGAACAAAAUGAAAUGUGAGAUUGUGUCUUUAUUAAUGAAACUAUGGUUUAGUUUUAUAUUCCGCCCUCAACAAAUCCGCAUACUAAUUUAGUGGUAGCAAAAUACCCAUGCAGCAUCAUCAAAGUCAUAUCCCCCAAGGUGGAGUGGCUCCAACAAAAUAUAGGUGUCAAAUAUCUUCAUUGUCUCGCUCAUAGUAGUGAACACUUCGUCCACCCAAAAAUUAUCAAAUGAACAAAUGUAUUCUUUCAUCUUUCUGUCGUAUUUUUCCGGCCUAUAAAUGUCCGUGUUUCUCUUACCGUCUAUGGGCUUUUGUUUCGCAGCACUCAUGUACACAAUCUCUUUCACGAAACGAUAAGCUUUUGAGUAUUUUUCUACAUUUUUUAUUUUUGUGUGUGACAAUUAACACAAUUUAGAGCUAGAAUGACUGAGAUGUGACUCCUUUAAAAGAUCCAAGAGAAUUCCUAAAUUAUUUUUUUAAUAUUUUUUCUACGUGCUGUUGAUCAAGCUAAGAGCAGAUGCCACGAGGAUCUGGCCAGUUAGGUGGAGUAAAAUAUAAAAUGUUGUGGAUGUGAGAAAAGGAACGAAGUUGACUAAUGGUGGAUGGGGAGGUCGGUAUUCAAAUACCGGUUUUCUACAUCAACAAAAAAGGAAAAAAAAAUGUGCAUACACAAAUACAUGUAUAUCAUGUACGUGCAAAUUUUCAUAACGAUAUAUUUUUCAUACGUGUAUACAAAAAGAAAAGAUACGUGCAUACAUGAUAAUAGGCUUUUUUUUGUUGUUGUGCCGGGAUUUUUAUUUUCGUUGAUUAUAAAUCUCUGUAUUUUUAAAUGAAGUUUUAUAGACGUGCAGUGAACAGGUAUAAGUUUCCUCAGAUUUGUCAUUUGAAACACAACUUUUUGCGGGGUGUUCUUUGAAACAUUGAAAUAUUGUUGCCUUUUUUUUUCAAAAUACGGUGCUACACGGAGCAUGGUAGCCAAAAAAUUGCACUUGUGAAAAGAGUGGGAAGACAAAUCAGGUAAUCUUUGGAUUAAUUUCCGCAAACACCCGUUUGGAACUUUGACAUAGUAGACGGCGGGAGCAUUAUGAAAUAACAAAAUGAAAUGUGAGGUUUUUGCACAAAAUGAGUGUAGCUUAGAUAAUUAGGUUUCUCAUGGUGAAAUCAACCCAUCAAGAUUCCAAGCCCUAGACUUGACAUUGGUGGUUGUAUUUUUUAAAUUUAUUUCAGAUUUUUUGAGGAUGCAUGUUCAGUGAGAGAAAAAGUCUUCGUCCAUUGCAAAUACAUAUCUGAAAAGUGCAUGCGUCUGUAUCGUGUUAAGAAAACAUUUUAUUUUCACAUGUUUCUCCUCUCCCAGGUUGUAUCGGUAUUUGGUUCAUCUUGCAACUUUUUUGGCUUGUGCAGAGGUAGAUGUGGAGAGCAAUGAACACUUCGUUCAUCCAAAAAUAUGAAACGAACAAAUGCGUUCUUUCAUCUUACCGUCACUUCUUCCCUGCCAGAAAAAAAACGUUUGCUUGUUCCCAGCACUCACGCACACAGUCUUUUUUACGAACCGAGAAGCUUCUGAGCAUUUUUCCGGCUAUGACGAUCACCCAAAGCACGCAGCGACAAGCACGUUAGCGUUAACACGCACACGCCUGCCAUCACCGCGAAAACGGGGUGCGCAACGGAAUCCGAUCCACGCCACGAAAGGACGUCCCAUUAGCUUCUCCAUCCAUAUAUGUCUAGUCGGCACAGCGCUGGCUUAGCAAUAGCAACCAACCAAACCAUGUUAGGCAGCGAAAACAUGCCGCAAAAACCUGCUUGGAGGCACGCACAAGCCAUCUAAAGCCGUUGCUAAAAUGCUAAGCCAGCAGCUAAAUCACGCCUAGACAGCGUGGCUUCCCGGAGCCUCUUCUUCUAAUACAAACAACACAUGGCGACCUCAAAAACGGCCUGCCCCGGCGCGUCCCUGUCUUUGCUUUACGGGCGGGUCGAUUCGUAGCGGGGAAAAACUUGAAGGAAAUUCCCGAUCCAUGCUUGCCCGAUCGCGGAAGGCAAGGGUGCGACGCCGACGCUCGCGCCACAAAUGUAGCAGGGCGAUUUAUAUUCCGUUCGGUUCGUUUUCAUGGGCUGUUGUUCCGGCGUGCAUCCCCUCCCUUUUUGCGGCCUUGCGUAUCUAUCGGGCACUCGAAAGGCUGGUCCGGCCGUGCCCAUGUAUGGCAUAUGCGUCGACAAGUUUGGUCCGGAGCUGCUGGAGUGGAGACUCCUCUCGUAUGAAGCGAAGCGAACGAAGAGCCCCAUGCGCUCGAACUGGCUGGCCAUGGGGUGUAUGGAUGAGAGCGAUUUUUGCAGUAUUUAUUCCUCCCUUUCCACUUGGUAAAAGUGAAGUGGAGUUACCGGCACGUCUAGGGGUGGCCUGCGGGCCGCACGUUGGCGCCGUUGCUUGCCUCGUUGGUGCGGUACCGGGUGGUGGCUUGGUGUGGGCGGCUGUGGUCCACGCGAACGCACGGCGUCGGGUCGGCUCACGCGGCCGGACCCGCGCCUCCCGGCCGGGGCGGCGCACCGCCUCCGGGUUCACCGGGGUGACGCGAUGGGCUCGCUUUUGUUUAUGCCUCCCUAUGCGCUGUUGCUGCCGUGCAAGUCGUGGGCAGAGGCGCAGAGCGGUUGAAAAAUCGCAGCUACUCGCGACCUUCACGCCAGGGGCACCCGCCGACCUGGAGCACUAGCGAUGGGCACCACGGGAAAGCUCCACCUGUGCGCUCGGCUCGGCGCCAGCGCGACCGCCGUGCGCGCUCCACGUCGCCUCCUUCUUCAAACCCCGCCAUCACCUUUUGACGAGCCCAGGACCACCUGCGCUUUCUAUAGAUUAAGAAAGAGAUCUACUCUAGGGUAGUAACAUCUAUAAUAUUCGAGAUUUCUUUCGCUAAAAAUAUAUACUGUCCUUAGAAUUCGUUUUUGGAAGGGGACUAUAAGCGGACGUGAGGAUCUUGCGUGAGCUGACAAUCUGGUCGCUGCCGGCAACAUGGUUUAUUCUUUGUUGCACUAAUCUUGUAUAUGCAUAUUUUUUAAAGGACUAGAUAUGUUAUAGAAAUUCAUCGAAAAUGCAUAGCACCUUAUACAUAGGAUCAUGCACCUCCGAGCGAUCACUACUACCGUCAGAACGAGUGGUCAACGCGUUGUUCCCAUGUCGGAGCUCGCCUGCCAUUGUCGAUGACAAUGAGAAGUCUUCGUGCAUAUGUGCCCUUAAGGACAAGCAUCCUGAAACAAAAAUCAUCGAUGUUGAAUAGUUGAAUCGAUCUAAUGAAGCUGACGCCGAAUCUCGUCGUUGGGUAUACACGACAAGAAACCGUAGCCUCUCUACCCGAGGAGUUGACGCGAAGCUAAACCGGAGGUCCGUCUAAUCCAUCCCGACGGAAGGAAUUGACGAGGAUUGAAUCCUCGAAAACUGAUUUGAAGAAGAAGUGUCGCCAUCCACUCGAGGGCCGCCCUUGCGGGCACUAAAACCUUACUUAUCUACUAGCCGGGGCCAAGGCACCAUAAUUCCCCUCCCUGCCACUAGCCACAUGAGCGGCAUGCAGAGAGGAGAAGAAUCAACAGGCUCAUUGACGGGGUUGUACAUUAGGAGUAGUCCUACGGACCCGAAUCCCUAGGCCUGCCCAAGACCAUACAUGGACAUUAGCGUUCCAAAAGUCACCUAUGCAGUCAUAGUCUCACUCGAACAAGUGUGUGUCACCCGACUCACAUGACUUCACUCGGUCUGUUUCAUAUCAGUCGAACGUUCAUCAACACUCGGACUGCAGCAGGACGUGGGCAAGGAAGGGACUACAAUGGCCAUAGACUUGAACUAUUACAUGAAGUGUAGUGAAGACACGUGUUACCAGUAACGCCGUAGUUAGAGUUGUCAUUACUAGUAACUUCCGUAGUUAUUAGCAUUUACUCACCCUUGCAAUGAAGUCUGGUCGGUCGUGGCGCACUCUAUCUAAGCCACCCCGGGAUCCUGGGCAAGGGUUCAACAUUCUGUACUAUCUCAUACUCUAUAAUCCAACACCAGCCUUCGAGGCUCGAGAUGUAGGGUCGUUACCACUCCCGAGUGGGGCCCGAACUCGUACAUCCGAGUGUAUCCUCUGUGCUAGGCUCCACCCCUUGUUCGUACCCCUGGUACUAUUGUCAGGAUCAUUCCCACAACAUUUGGCGCCCAUCGUGGGGCUUGAUACGUCCAUUUUGCAUCAUGUUUUCAUGUUGAUAUUUAUCGCUUCUUGGGCUGUUAUUUCACUUCAGGUACAAUACUUAUGCCUUUUCUCUCUUAUUUUGAAACUUUUACAUGAAGAGGGAGAAUGCCGGCAACUGGAAUUGUGGCCUGAAAGUGGAGCAAAGUUGAGAUACCACAAGCCCCCUAGGCGAGGCCAGGGGGAGGCCGCGCCUAGCAGGCUUGUGGCCUCCUGCUGGCGCCCCUCUGGCACCCCUCUGGCACUUCUUCGGCCCAGUAUUUUUUAUAAAUCCCAAAAAAUCCACGUUGAUUUUCACGGCUUUUGGAGUUGCGCAGAAUAGGCAUCUCAAACUUGCUCAUUUUUCAGGCCAGAAUUCUAGCUGCCGGCAUUCUCCCUCUUCAUGUAAACCUUGCAAAAUAAGAGAGAAAAGGCAAAAGUAUUGUACCGUAAAGUUUAAUAACAACCCAAAAAGCAAUAAAUAUCAACAUGAAAGCAUGAUGCAAAAUGGACGUAUCAACUCCCCCAAGCUUAGACCUCGCUUGUCCUCAAGCGAAAACCUAGAUCAAUAAACAUGCCCACAUGUUUAGGGAGAGAGGUGUCGACAAAACAAGAUACGAACAUGAAGGCAUCAUGAUCAUGAUCAGAACAGCAAUACCAUCAUAUCAACUCUUAUGCUAAAGUGAAAAUUCCUUCACAAAGUAAAGUAUGGAUCAAGAACCUUACCGAGAAUUAACAACCGAUAGACUUUAGUCAAUGAAGCAAUUGCAAUUUAUCAUAACAUCGUAAAGAGUCAAAUAAGAGCUUGUAAAGAAAAUCCACAUACUCAAUCAUCUUUUCCUUCUCUACAAUUGCUACAACUCACGUGGUACUCAUGAGAUCAAAGUUUCAGUUGGACGCAGAGAAAGAUAGGGGCUUAUAGUUUCGCCUCCCAACCAUUUACCUCAAGGGUAAUGUCAACAAUAAUAAUUCAUGAAUGCUUACCUCCAAGUUGACAUAAGAAUGUAGAUCUUUCCCUAGCAUAUGACGUUAGCCAAGAUAAAGGCGAAAUAAGGAAUUGGUGAAGAUCACCAUGACUCUUUCAAGGGCAAAAAGUAAAGGUACAAGAUAGGCCCUUCGCAGAGGGAAGCAGAGGUUGUCAUGCGCUUUUGAGGUUUGGAUGUGUUUCCUCUUAGUGCGGAGGAACGUCACUUUAUAUUGCCUCCUGUGAUAAAGAACUUUAUUAUGCAGUCCGUCGCUUUUAUGUCUUCCUCAUCACAGGUUCGUACAAAGCUUAUUUUCCACACACUAAUAGAUCAUACAUAUUAGGGAGCAAUUUCUAUUGCUUGCACCGAUGACAACUUACUUGAGGGAUCUUAUUCAAUCCAUAGGUAGGUAUGGUGGACUCUCAUGGCAAAACUGGGUUGAAGGUUUGUGGAUGCACAAUUAGUAUCUCUACUUGGUGCGGGAGUUUUGGCUAAUAUAAGGUGGAAGCAAUCGUCACAUGCUAAGGGAUCUCUAGUCAUAUAACAUUGUUCAGAACCAAGAAAACAUAAUUCAUUAUGUUGUCUUCCUUGUCCAACAUCUACUUCUAAGCAUGCAAUAGCUUAGUGAGUGUUCACAAUCAUAGAUGGUGUCAAAGAUGAUAUAUUUAUAUGUGAACCUCUCCUUCUUUAUCACUUCCUACUAAUUGCAACAAUGACCAAGGUCUACGUUUGUCUACCCUCAACAAGUUUCAAUCAUCAUUCUUUUUAUAUGUGAAGCCAUCACUUCCCAUAAGAUCAUUGCAUGAUCCUNNNNNNNNNNNNNNNNNNNNNNNNNNNNNNNNNNNNNNNNNNNNNNNNNNNNNNNNNNNNNNNNNNNNNNNNNNNNNNNNNNNNNNNNNNNNNNNNNNNNUUGCAAGGCUUGUGUGUGAUGUUGUAUUACCGAGUGGGCCCCGAGAUACCUCUCCGUCACACGGAGUGACAAAUCCCAGUCUUGAUCCAUACUAACUCAACUACCACCUUCGGAGAUACCUGUAGAGCAUCUUUAUAGUCACCCAGUUACGUUGCGACGUUUGAUACACACAAAGCAUUCCUCCGGUGUCAGUGAGUUAUAUGAUCUCAUGGUCAUAGGAACAAAUACUUGACACGCAGAAAACAGUAGCAACAAAAUGACACGAUCAACAUGCUACGUCUAUUAGUUUGGGUCUAGUCCAUCACGUGAUUCUCCUAAUGACGUGAUCCAGUUAUCAAGCAACAACACCUUGUUCAUAAUCAGAAGACACUGACUAUCAUCGAUCAACUGGCUAGCCAACUAGAGGCAUGCUAGGGACGGUGUUUUGUCUAUGUAUCCACACAUGUAAAUGAGUCUUUGUUCAAUACAAUUAUAGCAUGGAUAAUAAACUAUUAUCUUGAUACAAGAAUUAUAAUAAUAACUAUACAUUUAUUAUUGCCUCUAGGGCAUAAUUCCAACACAUUUCACUAUUCAUGCAUGAUGCAGAUCGAUGCACGAAAGCCAUGGAUGUACAGCGAACGACGUGGUUCCGGAUUUAUUGCAGGCCUGCAUGAAUUUAUCUAUGUGGCUGAGGCAAACAAAGUGGAUACUUUUAUGCCUUGUCCAUGUGUUGACUAUCGAAACGUGAAGGAGUACUCUACCUCGAAAACCAUUCAAGGCCACGUUCUUGAUAGAGGUUUCAUGCCCACAUAUUAUUGUUGGACCGUGCACGGAGAAAGAGGGGUUAGGAUGGAAGACAAUGAAGAAGAAGAUGAUGAUGACAACUAUCCUAUGUUCACUGAAGAAUACGGUGAUACUGCAAUAGAAGACAAUGAAGAAGAAGGAGGUGAAGAACAACCGGCAUGAGUUGAGCCCGCUGAUGGUCUUGGUCGGGUCAUUUCUGAUGCAAAGAGAGAAUGUGAUGCAGACAAGGAGAAGUUGAAGUUGGAGGCCAUGCUAAAGGAUCAUAAAAAGUUGUUGUACCCAAAUUGCGAAGAUGGCAGCACAAAGCUCGGUACCACACUGGAACUGUUGAAAUGGAAGGCAUAAACUGGUUUAUCUGACAAGCGACUUAAGAAGUUACUGAAAAUAUUGAAGCCGAAGCUUCCAAAGGAUAACGAAUUGCCCGAGACUACGUACGAAGCAAAGAAGGCUAUCUGCCCUCUUGGAUUAGAUGUGCAGAAGAUACAUGCAUGCAUUAAUGACUGCAUCCUGUACCGCGGUGAGAAGUACGAGAAUAUGGAAAAAUGGCCGGUAUGCACUGCAUGUCGGUACAAGAUCUGACAAGAUGACCCUGGUGAUGUUGAGGGCGAUGACGAGCCCCCAGGAAGAAGGUUCCUGCUAAGGUUAUGUGGAUGCUCCUAUAAUACCACGGUUGAAACGUCUGUUUAGAAACAAUGAGCAUGCCAAGUUGAUGCGAUGGCACAAAGACGAGCAUAAGAAAGACGAGAAAUUGGGACACCUCGCAGAUGGGUCGCAGUGGAGGAAAAUCGAGAGGGAGUGGCCGGACUUUGUAGAUGACCCAAGGAACUUAUGGCUUGGUCUAUGUACAAACGACAUGAAUCCUUUUGGGGAGCAGAGCUGCACCCACAGCACCUGUCCCGUGACUCUAUGUAUCUACAACCUUCCUCCUUGGUUGUGCAUGAAGCGGAAGUUCAUUAUGAUGCCAGUGCUCAUCCGAGGACCGAAGCAACCCAACAACGACAUUGAUGUGUACCUAAGGCCAUUAGUUGAUGAACUUUUGCAGUUGUGGGCCAAACCAGGUAUAUGUGUGUGGGAUGAGCACAAACAGCGGGAAUUUGACCUACGAGCAUUGUUGUUCGUAACCAUCAAUGAUUGGCCUGUUCUUAGUAACAUUUCAGGACAGUCAAACAAGGGAUACAAUGCAUGCACGCACUGUUUAGAUAAGACCAAAGGUACAUAUUUGGAAAAAUCUAAGAAGGUUGUCUACCUGGGGUGUCGUCAAUUUCUUCCGAACAAUCAUCUCAUAAGAAAGAAAGGCAAGCAUUUCAACGGUGAGGCAGAUCACCGGAAGAAGCCUAACCUCCCUACUGGUGAUGAGUUAUUGGCUAUGGUCAAGGAUUUGGAUCAAAUAGUAAUCUUUGGAAAGGGUCCUGGCGGUCAAUCUGUUCCGAAAGACGACGUUACCGGACACGUGCCCAUGUGGAAAAAGAAAUCUUUAUUUUGGGAGCUACCCCAUUGGAAACACCUAGAGGUCCGGUUUUCAAUCGACGUGAUGCACGUGACGAAGAAUCUUUGCGUGAACCUGCUAGGCUUCCCGGGCGUGUAUGGGAAGAAAAAAGAUACACCAGAAGCACGGGAGGAGCAGCAAUGUACGAAAGACCCAUACGACAAGAAGACUGAUAAAAGGCAUCAAUACUUAAGCAUUUAGGCUCUUACCAAAGCACAGAAGGAAAUCUUUUUGGAAUGCCUGAGCAGUAUGAAGGCCCCCGCUGGCUUCUCAUCUAAUAUAAAGGGAAUAAUAAAUAUGGUAGAGAAAAAAUUCCAAAACCUGAAGUCUCAUGAUUACCACGUGAUUAUGACGCAGUUGCUUCCGGUUGCACUGAGGGGGCUUUUACCAGAAAGUGUUUAAUUACCCAUUGUGAAGCUAUGUACAUUACUUAAUGCAAUAUCUCAGAGGGUAAUCGAUCGAGAACGUCUGAAAAGGCUACAGAAGGAUGUGAUCCAAUGUCUUGUCAGUUUUGAGUUGGUGUUCCCCCGUCCUUCUUCAAUAUUAUGACGCAUCUCCUGGUUUACCUGGUCGACGAGAUUUCCAUUCUCGGUCCUGUAUUUCUACACAAUAUGUUCCCCUUUGAGAGGUUCAUGGGAGUCUUGAAAAAAUAUGUUCAUAAUCGUGCUAGGCCAGAAGGAAGCAUCUCAAAGGGCUAUGGAACAUAGGAGGUCAUUGGGUUCUGUGUAGACUUUCUUCCUGACCUUAAGCCGAUUGAUGUUCCUCAAUCGCGACAUGAGGGGAGACUGAGUGGAAAAGGCAUUCUAGGAAAGAAAACAGUGAUAUGUAGGGACGGACAUUCUUUCACUCGAGCACACUACACAGUUCUAAAAAGUUCCACCUUCGUGGCUUCGUAUAUCGAGGAACACAAGAAUUUUGUACGCUCCGAGUUCCCGGGGAAGGCUGACUCCUGGAUUGAAGAAAAACACAUGGAUACUUUCGACAAUUGGUUGCGAGCACGCCUCAUGAAUGACAACACUGUUGGAGAUCAACUCUACUUGUUGGCCGUGUCACCUUGUUCGACCGUAUUACAUUUGCAAGGUUAUGAGAUAAAAAGUAAUACAUUUUACACAAUUGCUCAAGAUAAAAAGAGCACCAACCAAAACAGUGGUGUCCGGUAUGAUGCAACAGACGAGAAUGGGAAAAAGGACACAUACCAUGGUUACAUAGAGGAGAUAUGGGAACUUAACUCUGGACCUACUUUUAAGGUCCCUUUGUUUCGGUGUAGUUGGGUGAACAUGAAUGGAGAAGGGGUAAAGGUAGACCAGUUGUACGGAAUGACAACAGUUGAUCUCAAGAAUCUUGGUUACAGAGACGAGCCAUUCGUCCUAGCAAAUGAUGUGGCUCAGUUUUGCUACGUGAAAGACAUGUCCUCCAGACCGAAAAAUAAAUAAAAUAAGCAAAUGAAUACACGGGACAAUGAGCCAAAGCGUCACAUAGUUCUUUCAGGGAAAAGGAACAUCGUGGGAAUCGAGGACAAGACACACAUGUCAGCAGAUUAUAAUAAGUUUGAUGAAAUUCCGCCCUUCACAGUGAGAAUUGACCCAAACAUCCCAUUAAAUAAUGAAAAUGCUCCAUGGUUACGGCCAAAGCGGUCAUAGGCAAGGGAUCGAAAUAUAAAUCUAUGUAAUGUAUCAAACUUUAUGUGUUGUGUGCUAAUGUAUUAAACUUUGAAAGAGAUUGUCUGUUUUGUACACGAAGUGCAUCCAAUUUUUGUCGUAACCCUCUCAACUUUUUAGCACAUUCUAUGUGGGUGAAAUGAUGAUGUCAUGCCAACUUUCAACCUUUUCAGAGUUCAUUUGUAGUGCUUUCCAAUUUCAUGAUCAUUUACCUCAAAAAAAUAAGUAAAUGCAUGAAAAAUACCAAAUGAAGUGUGAAAUUGUGGAAAAUUAAUGAUGUGCCUCUAAAUGAUGCAUUUUAAAUACACAAAAAGUAUGGAGUUCAAAUAAGUUCAAAAAAUGAAAUGCCUUUAUAACAGAUGAGUUUUCGUUCAAAANNNNNNNNNNNNNNNNNNNNNNNNNNNNNNNNNNNNNNNNNNNNNNNNNNNNNNNNNNNNNNNNNNNNNNNNNNNNNNNNNNNNNNNNNNNNNNNNNNNNNNNNNNNNNNNNNNNNNNNNNNNNNNNNNNNNNNNNNNNNNNNNNNNNNNNNNNNNNNNNNNNNNNNNNNNNNNNNNNNNNNNNNNNNNNNNNNNNNNNNNNNNNNNNNNNNNNNNNNNNNNNNNNNNNNNNNNNNNNNNNNNNNNNNNNNNNNNNNNNNNNNNNNNNNNNNNNNNNNNNNNNNNNNNNNNNNNNNNNNNNNNNNNNNNNNNNNNNNNNNNNNNNNNNNNNNNNNNNNNNNNNNNNNNNNNNNNNNNNNNNNNNNNNNNNNNNNNNNNNNNNNNNNNNNNNNNNNNNNNNNNNNNNNNNNNNNNNNNNNNNNNNNNNNNNNNNNNNNNNNNNNNNNNNNNNNNNNNNNNNNNNNNNNNNNNNNNNNNNNNNNNNNNNNNNNNNNNNNNNNNNNNNNNNNNNNNNNNNNNNNNNNNNNNNNNNNNNNNNNNNNNNNNNNNNNNNNNNNNNNNNNNNNNNNNNNNNNNNNNNNNNNNNNNNNNNNNNNNNNNNNNNNNNNNNNNNNNGUUGGUGGCUCCAACCGGGACUAAAGGGGUGGGUCUUUAGUCCCGGUUGGAGCCCCAAACCGGGACUAAAGGCCUCUGUAUAUAAGAGGGAGUUGGAAUUUUUCCAAUCCAUUGCCAGUUUCUUCUUCGUCGUGCCCCCGAUGCCUCCAGGCUGCCCGACGCCGAACCGCUCGUCGUCGUCGUCGUCGUCGCCACCAGGCUGCCCGUCUCCGAUCAGCACAGCGCAGCCCCAACCCCUCGCCGCCACGGACCCAUACCCUCCCUGCACCGCCCCAACCUCGACCCGUGUCCGUUCUCCUCCGCACACCAUCCGCAUCGAUUUCGCCGUCGGUCACUCCGGUGACCUCCUCCUCCUCACGCCUCCGCGGUCGGCCACUCCGACGACCUCCUCCUCCUCAUGCCUCUGCGGCUCCGCCGUCGGUCAAUCCGGCGGCCCCUCCUCACGCCUCCGCCAUCGGCCACUCCGAGGUGAUUUUUCGUGUUCAUCCAAAAUUUUGGGGGAUUUUUAUUUGCUAGUUCCAGUGCUUGUUGAUUAGCUAGUUCUAGUGCUUGUUGAUUAGCUAGUUAUAAAUCUUGUUUCCUUGAGCGAAAAGCAUGAUAGAUUUUCUUGCUUUAGUUGGGAUGCAUUUACUUGUUGCAUUUUUUCGUGCAUUGCAUAUAUUUAGAGGCAUACAAAAUUAACAAUUAUUUAAAAUGAAUGUACAAACAAGCAAGUGGUGAAAGAAAGAGUUUUCUCACAUUGUAAUAUGCUUUGAGAUUUGACACCAAGCCAUCAAACUUUUUGACAUAGAUCGACACAAUCAUGUUGAAGCAUUCAAAAUUACCAAAAAGAUCAUAAGAAUGUUCAAAAAAGAAAGUUGUGAAAUAAAAUAAUUCUUACCAUGUGAUCUACUUUGAGGUAUGAUAAGUGAGCCCUCGGCAUCUGACUUAGAUCCAGUCAUCGUCUUGAAGUAUACAAAAAAUUGAAAAAUGUUUAUAAGAAUAUUAAAACAGGAAAGUGGUGAAGGAAAAUGUUUCGUGACCGUGUGAUCUACUUUGAGAUCUGACUCCCAAGCCCUCGGGCUUUUUGACAUAGAUUGGGUCAUCAUCUUCCACAUCAACGAUGGAUUGAUCUUCAUUUGUUGUGGUGUUUAUGUGCAUGGUCCAUCCUUCAGCACAACCCGCUAGUUCUAGUGCUUGUUGAUUAGCUAGUUCUACUGCUUGUUGAUAAGCUAGUUCUAGUAUUAGAAAUUUUGAGGGAUUUUUAUUAGCUUCUUCUAUUGCUAGUUUAUUAGUUAUAUUGCUAGUUUAUUAGUUCUAUUGCUAGUUUAUUAGCUUAUUAAAUAGUAGGAAUUUAAAUAGUUGUACAAUUUGUUCUCGACGUCGACUAUGCCCGGCUCGCAUCCUAGUCGUCGACUUCGUGGUGACCACCUGCUUGAUAGGCGCCGGCAUGUGCGGGACUGGGCUUCAUCGGGAUGGCACUGGGAGGAGUUACCUUCCGGGGCGCGCAGCUUGGUGAGGAACCGGACUCCCGUCGUUGACCCGGAGCUUCUUUGAUGGCGGUCGCUGAUGUCUACUUGGCAACCUUCUCCUUGUAGACGUUCUUGGGCCUCCAAGUGCAGAGGGUUGUAGGACAGUAGCAAUUUUCUCUCAAGUGGGUGACCUAAGGUUUAUCAAUCCGCGGGAGGCGUAGGAUGAAGAUGGUCUCUCUCAAGCAACCCUGCAACCAAAUAACAAAGAGUCUCUUGUGUCCCCAACACACCCAAUACAAUGGUAAAUUGUAUAGGUGCACUAGUUCAGCGAAGAGAUGGUGAAACAAGUGCAAUAUGGAUGGUAGAUAUAGGUUUUUGUAAUCUGAAAUUACAAAAACAGCAAGGUAACAAGUAACAAAAGUGAGCACGAACGGUAGUGCAAUGCGUGGAAACAAGGCCUAGGGUUCAUACUUUCACUAGUGAAGUUCUCUCAACAAUGAUAACUUAAUUGGAUCAUAUAACUAGCCCUCAACAUGCAACAAAGAGUCACUCCAAAGUCACUAAUAGCGGGGAACAAACGAAGAGAUUAUUGUCGGGUACGAAACCACCACAAAGUUAUUCUUUCUGAUCGAUCUAUCAUAGAGUUCGUACUAGAAUAACACCUUAAGAUACAUAUCAACCAAGACCCUAAUGUCACCUAGAUACUCCAUUGUCACCUCAAGUAUCCGUGGGUAUUAUUAUACGAUAUGCAUCACACAAUCUCAGAAUCAUAUAUUCAACCAACACAUAGAACUUCAAAGAGUGCCCCAAAGUUUCUACCACAGAGUCAAAACGCGUGCCAACCCCUGUGCAUAGGUUCCCAAUGUCACGAACCCACAAGUUGAUUACCAAAACAUACAUCAAGUACUCACAUGAAUCCACGUGUGCCAACCCAUAUGCAUAGGUUCCCAAUUGUCACAAACCCGCAAGUUGAUCACAACAGAUAGACACGUGCAAGACAUACAUCAAGUGUUCUCAAAGACUCAAUCCGAUAAGAUAACUCCAAAGGGGAAACUCAAUUCAUUACAAGAAGGAGAGGGGGAAGGAACAUCAUAAGAUCCAACUAUAGUAGCAAAGCCCACGGUACAUCGAGAUCAGGACAUCUCAAGAACACGAGAGAGAGAGAGAUCAAACACAUAGCUACUGGUACAUACCCUCAGCCCCGAGGGAGAACUACUCCCUCCUCGUCAUGGAGAUCGCCGGGAUGAUGAAGAUGGCCACCGGAGAUGGAUUCCCGCUCUGGCAAGGUGCCGGAACGGGGUCUAGAUUGGUUUUUGGUGGCUACAGAGGCUUGCGGCGGCGGAACUCCCGAUCUACGUUUCUUUCUCUAAGUGUUUGAAUUUAUAGGAAUUUAUGGCGGUGGAAUUACGUCGGUUGGGCCCACGAGGAGGUCACAAGCCUGCCCUGCGCCACCUGGGGGGGGUGGUGGCGGCGUCAGGGCUUGUGACUCCCUCGUGGCUCUUCUGGCCUUCUUCCAAAGCUUCGGGGGUCUCUUUUGGUCCAAAAAAAUCAUCGUAAAGUUUCAUUCCAUUUGGACUCCGUCUGAAAAUGGGCCAAAAACACGGAAAAAAUAGAAACUGGCACUUGGCACUGAGUUAAUAGGUUGGUCCCAAAAAAGAUAUAAAAUAGCAUAUUCAUGCAUAUAAAACAUCCAAAGUUGACAAGAUAAUAGCAUGGAACCAUCAAAAAUUAUAGAUACGUUGGAGACGUAUCAAGCAUCCCCAAGCUUAACUCCUACUCGUCCUCGAGUAGGGAAGUGAUAAAGAAUGAAUUUUUAAUGUUGCAUGCUACCUAGCAUAGUUGUCCUUUGUAACUUCUCUCGCGUGACAUGAAUGUUCAGAUCCGUUAGAUUCAAAACAAUAGUUUGCUAUUGAUGUGGAGACAAUACUACUUCCAGCAAACUAGCAAGGUAAUCAUGAACUUUCAAAAUAACAAGGCCAAAAGAAAGUUAUCCCUACAAAAUCAUAUAGUCUGGCUAUGCUCUAUCAUCCCUGCAUAACGAAUUUAAAUCAUGCACAACCUCGGUAUUGGCCAAGUAAUUGAUUUCACGCCUUUACUUUCUCAAACUUUUCAACUCUCACGCAAUACAUGAGCGUGAGCCAUGGUUUUGGCACUAUAAGUGGUGUGGACUGUGGUGGAGGUUGCAAGACAAAAAGGAGAAUAUGAUCACAUUAACUAGGCAUAUCAAUAAGCUGUGGAGAUGCUCAUCAAUAGAUAUCAAUGUAAAUGAGUAGGGAUUGCCAUACAAAAGCUCCACUAGAGCUAAGAGUAUGUGAAAGCUCUUAAAGAAAACUAGUGCGUGUGCAUCCAACUUGCUUGCUCACGAAGACCUAAGGCAAUUUUGAGGAAGCCUAUCAUUGGAAUAUACAAGCCAAGUUAUAUAAUGAAAAUUUCCCACUAGCUAUAUGGUGGUGACAAAACGAGAGACUCUCAAUCAUGAAGAUCAUGGUGCUUAAUAUGCACAAGUGUGGAAAAGUAGUAGCAUUGUCCCUUCUCUCUUUUUCUCUUCAUUUUUUUGUGGGCUCUUUGGCCUCUUAUUUAUUUAUUUAUUUAUUUUGGUGGGCAUCUUUGGCCUCUUUUUGUAUAUGGGCUUCGCUGGCCUCUUUUAUUUCCUCACAUGGGACAAUGCCCAUCAAUGAUGAUCAUCACACUUACAACUCAAAACUUAGAGCAAUCAUGACUCUAUAUGGAAUGCCUUCGGUAGUCUACCGUGACAAUGAUCUAGCAUGCCGUAGACAUUAAUGGAAACAUCAUGCUAGCUAUCUUACGAUCAUGCAAUGGCAAUGUAGACGUGGUGGCACAUGUCAUGGUGGUAGUUGCAUGGCAAUAUAUCUUGAAAUGACUUUGAAAAAGCCAUAGUAGGUAGGUAUGGUGGCGGUUUUGAGGGAGGCUAAUGGUGGGUUUUGUGCACCGGCUAAAGUUGCACGGCACUAAGAAGAUAGUGAUGGUGGAAGGUGAAAGUGCAUCUAAACCAUGGACUCAACAUUAGUCAUGAAGAACUCAUAUACUUGUUGCAAAAGUUUUAUUAGUAAUCGAAACAAAGCAUUCAACGCAUACUCCUAGGGGAAGGGUUGGUAGGUAUAAACCAUCGCGCGAUCCCGACCGCCACACAAAGGAUGACAAUCAAUAGACUAAUCAUCCUCAGACUUCAUCACAUAGCGGUUCACCAUACGUGCAUGCUACGGGAAUUACUAACUUCAACAAAAGUAUUUCUAGAUCCACAACACCUUACUAGCAUGACUUCAAUAUUACCAAAACCACAACUCAAAACUAAUUGAGAUGAAUCAAACUUCUCUAACUAUUCAAUGCAUAUGAAGGUGGAAGUUUUUGUAUCCCUUUGGAUAACUACCCCUUUUGAGACUACUUUCAAAGCAUAGAUCAACUACCAAGCCACACACCGCUGCGCUGUAAAAUAUAUAAGUGAAGCACAUAGAGCAAAAGUAUCUAGCUCAAAAGAUAUAAGUGAAGCACAUGUGAGCUGAAUUGUCUACCAAAGGAUAUAAGUGAAGCUCGACAAAAUCAUGGUGAGUGCAUGUCUCUCUCUCUCUAGGUGUGCAGCAAGGAUGAUUGUGACACGACAAAAAAUAAAAGACUCCUACGAUACAAGACGCUCCAAGCAAAACACAUAACAUGUGGUGAAUAAAAAUAUAGCACCAAGUAACGUUACCGAUGGAUUGAAGACGAAAGAGGGGAUGCCUUCCCGGGGCAUCCCCAAGCUUAGGCUUUUACGACAUCCUUGAAUCUCUUGGGGUGCCUUGGGCAUCCCCAAUCUUGAGCUAUUGCCACUCUUUAUCUCUUUGUCCAUAAGAACUUCACCCAAAACUUGAAAACUUCACAACACGAAACUUAAACAGAAACUCGUGAUAACAUUAGUAUAAGAAAGCAAACCACCACUUCCUUAGGUACUGUAGCAAACUUAAAUUCUACUUAUGUUGGUGUUGGGUUGCUGUAUUUUCACUUUUCCAUGGCUAGUACCCUCCGAUACUAUCCAUAGUUUCAUCAAAAUAAGCAACCAACUCAACAAAAACAGAAUCUGUUAAAUGCAGACCAGUCUGUAGCAAUCUGUAUACUUCUUAUACUUCUCGUACUUCAAAACAUCUGAAAAAUUACGACAGUCUGAAUAAAUUGCAGAGAAAUAAGCAGAAAAAAGAAUAAACUAAAAAUCUCUUACGGAAUAAAAAUGAAAAUUCUUUUCGUGAGAAGAAAGUUUCUGUCUUUUUCCAGCAUGAUCAAACAAUCAUCACCAAGACUAAUCAUAACGGUUUUGCUUGGCACAAACACAAAAAGAAACAAAAAAUACACAAUCAUAACAGAAUUAUUAUGGUCUGGAUAAAACAAAACAGGAAGAAAAAAUCAAAGAAAAAUUUAUUCAUUGGGUUGCCUCCCAACAAGCGCUAUCGUUUAACGCCCUUAGCUAGGCAUUGAUUUCAAUGAUGCUCACAUAAAAGGUAAGGAUUGAAACACAACGAGAGAAUCAUGGAGCAAAUGGCUAGCACAUUUAAGUUUAACCCACUUCCUAUGCAUAGGGAUUUUGUGAUCAAACAAUUUAUUGGAGCAAGAAUCAACUAGCAUAGGAAGGCAAAACAAGCAUAGCUUCAAAAAUUUCAACAUAUGGAGAGGAAGGUUGAUACUAUUGCAAUAAGUAGAAGCAUAUGAUCCUCUCUCAUAGUAAUUUUCAGUAGUGUCAUGAAUGAAUUCAACAAUAUAACCAGCACCUAAGGCUUUCUUUUCAUGAUCUACAAGCAUAGAAAUUUUACUACUCUCCACAUAAGGAUAUCUAUUCUCAAGAAUAGUAGUGGGAGUAUCGUAAAAGACUUGAGCACUACAAAUUGUAUCCACAAUAAAAAAGCAAGGUUUAGCAAAGGGGUUCUCGAGAGUAUGACAAGUUCUAUCAUCCAUCUUCUUCAAAGCAUAAGUAUCCUCACAAUAACCAUCAUAGAUAGGGGGCAUGCUUUCAUCAAAAUGAUUUUAAUCAUUCAAAGUGGAAGAACUAAAAAGAUCAUCUUCAUCAAAUAUAGCAUCCCCAAGCUUGUGGCUUUGCAUAUCAUUAGCAUCAUGGGUGUUCAAAAAAUUCAUGCUAAAAACAUUGCAAUCAUGCUCAUCAUUCACAUAUUCUAUGCCAAGCAUUCUAUGUAAUUCUUCUUUCAGCACUUGAGCACAAUUUUCCUUACCAUCAUGCUCACGAAAGACAUUGAAAAGAUGGAGCAUAUGAGGCAUCCUCAAUUCCUUUUUUUUUUAGUUUUCUAGCGAAAGAACAAGAAACAAAAAGAUUCGAUUGCAAGAUCUAAAGAUAUACCUUCAAGCGCUAACCUCCCCGGCAAUGGCGCCAGAAAAGAGCUUCAUGUCUACUACGCAACCUUCUCCUUGUAGACGUUGUUGGGCCUCCAAGUGCAGAGGGUUGUAGGACAGUAGCAAUUUUCCCUCAAGUGGGUGACCUAAGGUUUAUCAAUCCACGGGAGGAGUAGGAUGAAGAUGGUCUCUCUCAAGCAACCCUCCAACCAAAUAACAAAGAGUCUCUUGUGUCCCCAACACACCCAAUACAAUGGUAAAUUGUAUAGGUGCACUAGUUCGGCGAAGAGAUGGUGAAACAAGUGCAAUAUGGAUGGUAGAUACAGGUUUUUGUAAUCUGAUAUUACAAAAACAGCAAGGUAACAAGUAACAAAAGUGAGCACGAACGGUAUUGCAAUGCGUGGAAACAAGCCUAGGGUUCAUACUUUCACUAGUGAAGUUCUCUCAACAAUGAUAACACAAUUGGAUUAUAUAACUAGCCCUCAACAUGCAGCAAAGAGUCACUCCAAAGUCAGUAAUAGCGGGGAAUAAACGAAGAGAUUAUUGUCGGGUACGAAACCACCACAAAGUUAUUCUUUUUGAUCGAUCUAUCAUAGAGUUCGUACUAGAAUAACACCUUAAGAUGCAUAUCAACCAAGACCCUAAUGUCACCUAGAUACUCCAUUGUGACCUCAAGUAUCCGUGGGUAUGAUUAUACGAUAUGCAUCACACAAUCUCAGAAUCAUCUAUUCAACCAACACAUAGAACUUCAAAGAGUGCCCCAAAGUUUCUACCAGAGAGUCAAAACGUGUGCCAACCCCUGUGCAUAGGUUCCCAUUGUCACGAACCCGCAAGUUGACGAGGGAGAAUUCGACGGCUCCGUCAAGGUGCAUUCGGAGCUCGUAUGCGAAAGUUAUGGCUGUUUCAGUGGCGAGCGGUAGUACCGCUGGACCUAGCGGUAGUACCGCUGGCCCUGGCGGUAGUACCGCCCCUGGCCAGCGGUAGUACCGCUCCAAGUUUUUAGUACCGUCAUCUUUGCGGUUGUACUGCGUCGGACAUUUUUCCGAAGACUUUCUUGGCGGUGGUUGGCCCGGUAGUAUCUUUGCGCUACCAUGGGCUCAACGGUAGUACCACUGCAGCCAGCGGUAGUACCGCCGGAGGGUCAGCGGUAGUACCGCUGGAGCCAGCGGUAGUACCGCUGGGCUCGGGCUGUAAGUGGGGGUAACGGUCUGAUUCCUUCCCCCACUAUAUAAAGGGGGUCUUCUCCCCCCUUGGCCUUAUCUAUCUGUUGAGCUCUUGUUCUACCUCCAUUGUUGACAUUCUUAGAGCUUGCUUACUCUCAAUCCCUCAAAUGAUUCUUGCUUGUUCUUGAGGGAAAACAGAGAGGAGAUCUAGAUCCACAUCUCCACCAAUCACUUUCUCCUCUAUGUGAGGGGAACCCCUUGGAUCUAGAUCUUGGAGUUCUUUGUGAGCUCCUUAUUCUUCCUCUCAUAUUUCUUCAUAGCUUUCGUUGCUGUGGAGGGAUUUGAGUAUGAGGGACUUGACCACUUCGUGUGUUCUUGCCAUUGCAUUGGUUGCAUCGGUUUGAGUUCUCCACGGUGAUACGUGGAAGUGAAGUUUGAGAAGCUUAUUACCUUUGGUACUUAGUACCCUAGAUAUUGUUCUUCGUGGAUGCUUUGGCGUCCUAGAAGCUUGGUGGUGUCUCGGAGCUCAAUCAUUGUGGUGUGAAGCUCCGGGCAAGGGUCGGGGUCUCCAAUUAGGUUGUGGAGAUUGCCCCGAGCAAUUUGUAUGGGUACCGGUAACCGCCCCCAAGGGUUGCCACGUGUACGGGUUUAGUGACCGCCCUCAAGGGUCCCUUGGUGGAAUCACGGCAUCUUGCAUUGUGCGAGGGAGUGAGGAGAUUACGGUGGCCUUAGUGGCAUCUUGGGGAGCAUUGUGCCUCCACACCGCUCCAACGGAGAUUAGCAUCCGCAAGGGUGUGAACUUCGGGAUACAUCAUCGUCUCCGCGUACCUCGGUUAUCUCUUACCCGAACCCUUUACUUAUGCACUUUACUUUGUGAUAGCCAUAUUGUCUCUUGUCAUAUAUCUUGCUAUCACUUAGUUGUUUAUCUUGCUUAGCAUAAGUUGUUGGUGCACAUAGGUGAGCCUAGUUGUUUGAGGUUUUGUGCUUGACAUAUUGAACGUUAGUUUUAUUCCGCAUUUGUUCAAGCCUAAACCUUAAUUAUUUUAAAACGCCUAUUCACCCCCCCCUCUAGGCGACAUCCACGUCCUUUCAGUGUUCCAGUUGACAGAGGGCUUCUUUGGAGCAGGCUUCUUGAACGAGCGCUUGGGGGCAUUGGAGCCUUCAGACGGAUCAGAGGAAGGUCGCUUGGAGCUGGCAGUGCGAGACGGGUUGGAACGACGGGAACCACCACCUGUGAUACGCAAAAUAGCACACAAAACACAAAAGAAGGGAGAAACAAGUCAAGGCAAUGAAGAAGAGAGACCCAAAACAUCAUAAAACACAAUAGAUCAGUGGAUGUGCACAAAGGGGAGCGGUAGUACCGCAGGUGGAGCGGUAGUAAAAUUUUACUACCGCUCCGGGAGCGGUUGUAAAUUUUUACUACCGCUCUACAAGCGGUAGUACCGCUCCUCGAGCGGUAGUACCGCACGGGACGGCCUAAUCUCAGAUCAAAUCAAUUUUGACAUGGAAAAAACUAGUGAAGUUGACAUGGAUCCUAACCAGGCCUAGGCACACACACACCUAAGCAAAAAAAUCAUAUUACCCAAAAAGCUACCAUGAACUCCCAAUCACGAUGCCAUGAGUCCAUAUGCCCUAUCCCUAGAAGGAAUCAACGAACAAAGCAUAAGAUUGCAGAUGAGGGGCAGUACCGGAGUCCAUGGCGCGUGGGGAAGAGUCCCACCGGUCGGAAUCGGAGGACGAUGGCCGGAUAGGGAGAUCCGGCGAUGCCCUAGGGUAGUUUUUGAGGAGAGGAGAGAGAGAAACAGAGAAGAACUCGGGGCAGAUGGGGAAAAAGAACGGCCUCCUGGCCCUUUAAAUAGUCCCCUGGGCGAGGCGGCACGGUAGUACCGCAGUCAUCGCGGUAGUACCGCUCUACGUGCGGUAGUACCGCGCCCACAUCGGUAGUAAAAAAUUAGUACCGUGCUGGGGGUGGUAGUACCGCUCCCCCAGCGGUAGUAAAAUUUUACUACCGUGCUGGGGGCGGUAGUACCGGGCAUGAAGUCAUGAAAAUGGCCAAAAGAGCUCUCUACUCCUUAGGUGGUGAAAAAACUUGAUCAAGCCAAGAGAAACCAAAACACGAAAAACAAGAGGGACACACCGAAGAGAGAGAAACAACACAGAGACUCCAGGGGAGAGGGCGGUGGCCUAGGCCACCAAUGUUUGAGACAAAUGGUAUGACACCGCGAAGAAUUAUCCUUGGGUUCAUGACCAUAUCUCAUCUUUGAAGCACAAGUGCCAUUUGGUGAUGGCCAAAGUGAAAGACUUUACCGAUUUAUGCAUAAUGGGGGAGGGAAAGUUCAUUGAGAGAACAACACUCCCCCUAUGUCCAUGCCUACAUCUAGCGCAAGAUGUAAUGUAGAGUGAGGUGCAGAGUGCCUAGUUUCAAUCCACAUUACUUGAAUCAAUGAUAUUUAGCUCAUGCCUUAACUCCCGGAACCUUGCUUCAUCUAGGGGCUUAGUGAAAAUAUCUGCAAGUUGCUCUUCAGUGUUGGUGAAGUGAAUCUCAAUAUAGCCUAGCUUGAUAUGUUCACGAAUGAAGUAAUGACGAAUAUCAAUGCGCUUGGUCUUGCUGUGUUGAACUGGAUUGAGAGAAAUCUUGAUAGCACUUUGAUUGUCACAUAGGAGAGGUACUUUGUCAUAGGUGACACCGUAGUCCUUUAAAGUUUGCCUCAUCCAUAGUAACUGGGCACAACAACUUGCAGCUGCUACAUACUCAGCUUUGGUGGAGGAUAGUGAUACACAGUUCUGCUUCUUGGAAGACCAACUUACUAGUGAACAACCAAGGAAUUGGCAUCCUCCAUAGGUUGACUUCCUAUCCACACAGUCACCUGCCCAAUCUGAGUCAUAAUAGCCUACUAGGUUAAAGUUUGCUCCUUUGGGAUACCAUAGACCAAAGUUUGGGGUAUGAGCCAAAUAUCGAAAGAUUCGUUUGACAGCCAUGUAAUGACUCUCCUUUGGUGCAGAUUGAAACCGUGCACAAAUCCCUACACUCAACAUGAUAUCAGGUCUAGAUGCACAAAGAUAAAGGAGGGAUCCAAUCAUGGAGCGAUAUACCUUUUGAUCCACUGCUUUACCAUUGGGAUCACUGUCAAGCUUACAUCGUGUUGGCAUGGGAAACUUGACCGGCUUGACAUCCUCUAGCUCAAACCUUUUGAGCAUGUCUUGAGUCUACUUGGCUUGUUUAAUGGAAGUCCCUUCUAAGCGUUGUUUGAUCUCGAACCCGAGGAAGAACUUCAACUCACCCAUCAUCGACGUCUCAAAUUUCUCGGUCAUCAGUGCAACAAAUUCUUCAUUGAAAGAUUCGUUAGGAGAACCAAAAAUGCUGUCAUCAACAUAUAGUUGGCAUAUGAACAAAUCCCCUUUGACCCUCUUAGUAAAAAGAGUGGGAUCAAUCUUCCCAAUUUCAAACCCACGAUCUUGUAAUAACUCAGUAAGAUACUCAUACCACGCACGUGGGGCUUGUUUAAGGCCAUAGAGUGCCUUAUUAAGUUUGUACACAUGAUUGGGGAGCUUGGGAUGUUCGAACCCCGGGGGUUGUUUGACAUAUACCAACUCAUUUAAAGGACCAUUAAGAAAAGCACUUUUCACAUCCAUUUGUUGUAAUUUGAAAUUAUGAUGAGAAGCAAAUGCAAGCAUCAUGCGAAUAGAUUCUAAACGAGCAACAGGGGCAAAUGUUUCACCGUAGUCGAUACCCUCGACUUGGGAGUAGCCUUGAGCCACCAAUCUUGCCUUGUUUCAAAUCACAAUCCCAUUGGCAUCUUUCUUGUUCUUGAAGAUCCAUUUGGUCCUGAUGACAUUAUGUUCCUCCAUUGGCCUUGGCACUAAAUCCCAGACUUGAUUGCGCUCGAAAUUGUUGAGUUCUUCAUGCAUGGCCAUAAGCCAAUCCUCAUCAUCGAGCGCUUCCUGUACCUGUUGAGGUUCAAAAUAUGAAACAAACGCGUGAUGCUCAUAAUAAUUCCAAAUUUGUUGACGAGUGGAUACUCCCUUUUUCAAACUACCAAGUACAUUCUUCAUAAGAUGUGACUUGACUCUCAGCUUGUUCGCAAUCUUGGCUGCGCGACGCUCCAAGAGUUCUUCAUUGGAUAACUGGGGAAUAUCGACUUGAUUGCUUUGUGUGCCCUUGCGUUUUGAUCUUCCCUUGGCACCAGUACCCCGUUUAGGCGCCGCAGAAGGGAAUUGUGAGACAGCAUCCUGAUCAACUUGAUCUUCGUCUUGAGCAGGUUCACUACUUUGUCCUUGUUCUUGUGGUUGCUCUUGAUCUUGAUCUUGUGCUUCUAUUUGGUCCGGAUCAUGUGGUUGCACUUGAUCUUGAUCUUGAGCCGGUUCGGAACCUUGGGUGAGUGCUUGUACUUCAUGGGGCACAUCACCAUCUUUAGGCACUUGGUCUUGAUCUUGAGUUUGUUCAAAUUGUUGAGGGUCUUCUCUUUGUUCAUCGGAAGCGUGUGGGACUUGUGAGGAUGAUGGCUCCACUUGAGUAGAGCAUUGUCCUUCUCCUUCGGCCACAAGGGGUUCCUCAAUGGGGAGUAUUUGACCAAUCCCCAUUCUUCUUAUGGCUUGGGGAGGAAUUUCAUCACCUACAUCACAUAGACCACUUUGCUCCACUUGGGAGCCAUUAUUUUCAUCAAACUCCACGUUACACAUCUCCUCAAUGAGUCCAGUGGACUUGUUGAGGACACGGUAAGCAUGAGAGUUUGUAGCAUAACCAACAAAGAUGCCCUCAUGUGCUCUAGAAUCAAAUUUAGCUAAACGUGCACCUUUUAUUGAGAAUGAAACACUUACACCCGAAUACCCGGAAGUACUUGAGAUUGGGUUUGUUUCCGGUGAGAAUCUCAUAUGGGGUCUUGUUCAAGCCUUUGCGGAUAUAGAGCCGAUUUGACGCAUGACAUGCUGUGUUGAUGGCUUCGGCCCAAAAGUUAUAUGGAGAUUUGUAUUCCGCCAUCAUAGUUCUUGCAGCUUCUAUCAGUGUUCGGUUCUUCCUUUCCGCCACACCAUUUUGUUGAGGCCUAUAUGGUGCCGAAUAUUGAUGUUUUAUUCCCUCAUCACCUGGAAACUCAUCCAAGGUGUAGUUCUUGAGCUCGGUGCCGUUGUCACUUCUGAUCAUCAAAAUCUUUGCUUCAUGUUGACGUUGAGCUUCAUUAGCAAAGUUGAUAACAGUCUGUUGAGUCCCACUCUUCCUCUUGAAGAAAUAUACCCAAGUGUAUCUUGAGUAAUCAUCAACAAUCACCAAGCAGUACUUUCUGCCCCCAAGACUAUCAAAUGAUAGAGGACUGAAGAGAUCCAUAUGAAGGAGCUCCAACGGUCUCUUAGUGUAAAUGAGGGUCGUUGGACGAUGAGCAGUCUCAUGGAUUUUUCCUUCAAUGCAGGCACUGCAAGCACGAUCUUUGGCAAAACUCACAUUUGUUAGUCCACGAAUAUGGUCCCCUUUGAGGAGACUUUGCAAAGAUCUCAUAUUGACAUGGGCUAGUCGGCGAUGCCAAAGCCAGCCCACAUCAACUUUAGCCAUUAGACAUGUCGCAGUCUUAGUGGGUCGCUUUGAAAAGUUCACCACAUAGAGACCAUUUUCGACAUGUCCAACAUAGGCUACUUUAAGAGUCUUGCUCCACAAAAGGACCACAGUAUCAAGAUUAAAGAAUGUGGAGAAGCCCAUGAUUGCAAGUUGUAACCGAAAGUAAAUUAUAAGCAAGGGACUCAACAAGCAUGACCUUCUCAAUAGAUAACUCUUGAGAGAUGACCACCUUACCAAAUCCCAAUACCUUUGACAAUGAUGCAUCGACGAAUUAGACAUGGGUGGGCAUAGAUGGAGAAGGAUGCACAUCCACCACUAAGUCCUUGCUUCCGGUCAUAUGAUUUGUUGCUCCACUAUCGAGCAACCAUGACACCCCUCCGGAAGCAAACUCCUGCAAAGGAUCAAGGCUUGGUUUUAGGUACCCAUUUUUGAAUGGGUCCUUUAACGUUAGAGACAAGGGUCUUAGGAACCCAAAUAGCACAUUCAAUGUAUUCAUAGUAAGAACCAAUAAAUCUGGCAUAAACAUGCCCAUCACCAGCACGACAUAAAACAUAGGAAGGAUUUAGUUUGCCGUCCGUGUUGGUAGGAAUGGUUUUGCCCUUCUUGAUGCUCCCAUUUUCCACCUUGUUCCUGUUCUCCUCCUGAGUCCCUUCGCCCUCUUUGACAAAGAUGUCCAUGAGGGUGGGGGAUCUGUUGUUCCUGUUCUUUCUUUUUCUCUUAGACUUAGAUGUAAGUCCAAGCCCCUCCUUUCCUACCACACCCUUUUGAUUGCUCAAAAGGUCGUUCAGGCUCUUCUUGCCUUCGAUGCAUGAUACAAGGCCUUUCUCAAGUUUAGCCUUCAACUUGGCAUUUUCCUCCACUAGAUGUACAUGCUCACAACAAGGGUUAGUUGUACAAGCAUUAUCAAUUAAAACAAAAGGAGGACAAGUAGAGAUUUCCUUGGUAAGCUUAGCUUGAAGUUGAUCAUGAGACUCUUUUAGGGAGAAAUGACUACCUUUCAAGGCCUUGUGAGCCUUGUCAAGUGUGUCAAACUCCAUUUUGAGUCUGUCAUGGUCAACCCCAAGAGCAUCCUUUUCAGACUUAAGCAUACGAGUAAGAACAGUAGCAUGAUCUAGUUUCUUUUGCAAUUUAGCGCAGUCAUCGUUGUAUGACUCCUCAGGAGCCAAACGAAGAGUGCGCUCUGUUUCUAAAGCAAUAGAAAGUUCAGCAAUCUCAUCGACAUAGUCAUGACUAUGACCUUGCAUCUCGGAGAUGGUAUCCUCAUGAGACUCGUUGAGGUCAUUAGCCUCACCCAAUUGUUCCAAAAGGGCAACAAAGUGCCUCUUAGUUUCUCCUUUGAUAGUACACAGAAAUUUGUCAAGAUCAUGCUCAUUAAGUUCUGCAACAUCACUAUCAUCAACACAGUUCAACAAUGAGGGAGCACUAGUGAUGUUGGUCUUAAUGUUGGGUGUUACCUCAGUGAUCCCUUUCGCCAUGAGGCACUUGGCGAUGUGAUUAUCGUUGGGGGCGUUGAAGAGGGACACCUUCUUGGAAGAAGGAGUGGCAAUGGCGACAGUCGCAGUUGCCACCAUAUCAUCAUCAUCAUCAUCAUCGGAGGGGUACUCUUCAAGUGCCACCAUACCCUUUGGAUGGGGUUUCUUGACAAAGUUGUUCUUGCUUGGGAAUGGCUUUGUUUUGUCCUUGCGAAUGAGCUUGCCUCCGUUGUCUUCCCUCUUCUCAUAAGGACAUUUCGCCACGAAAUGGCUCACAUUACCACAGUUAUAGCAUGUCCUCACUCGUUGCUUGGGUUUGAACCCACUUGAGUUGUUCUUGGUGAAGUUGGGUCUUGAGUUCCUCUUGUUGCCCCAGAAUUGCCUAGACGCAAGAGCCAUGUGCUCGUGAUAAGCAUACUUAGUGUAUUCACGGCAGCUCUCUUCUUCUUCAUCCUCCUCUUCUUCUUCAGAAGCAGCCUUUGCCUUUAAAGCAAGGUUAGGUGAAGCUGUCUUUGACCGAACUCAAGCAAGUGCAUUGUCAGCGGUCUCGUUCAUGAUUGACAUUGCAAUGAAUUCAUCCAACACCUCACUGGAAGACAACGAGUGAAAAUCUGGUCGUUGGCGAAUGACUGAUGACAUGGCUUUGUUGAAAGGCAUGAUGGCCUUAAGAAACUUGCGCUUGACCCAUGUGUCAUCCACAUCCUUGCUCCCAUGAUCCUUGAGAGCAACAGCAAUAGCAGUCACCCUCUGAUAGACAUCACGAGGGUCCUCAUCUUCCUUCAUUACAAACUCAUCAACCUGAUCAAGUAUUACUUCAUAGUUUGACCGUUGAAUACUAGAGCAUCCCUUGUAUAGAACCAUAAUGUGCUCCCAAUAGUCCUUGGCCAGAGAGAAGGGGCGCAAGUGAGGAAGAUCUUCAGGCGGUACUGCGGACUGUAAGAUGAACAAUGCGGAGUGAUUAUAUUGAUUGUCCGCUUCUUCUCUUGGAGUGAGGUUUCUUGGGUCAUGAAGAUAGAAGCCUUGCUCGAUGAUUCUCCACAAGUUUGUUGAGCUGUGACUCAAAUGAGACUUAAUAGAAAACACCCAGGUAGCAAAAUCACCCUUAACAAGCUUAGGAGGAGGACCAACAGGAUUAAGAUGCGGUGUGGGAACGGGUCCUCCAUAGACCAUGGGAGGUGGAACUGAGGCAUAGGUUCCAGUCCCAUCCUUUUCGUGAUAUGAGGAAGGUCGCAUACCUUUAGCCGCUUCCUUAGAGGAAUUGGCCUCCGAAUCGGUGAUGGUGGGUUUAACCACUAACGCCGGUUCGGGUGGACUUUUAAAUCCCUCAAUUAACUCUUUAAGCAUGGUCUUGACUUCGUUCGUUAAGGACGUCUUGAGGGCGGCCAUAGCCGUAUUCAAGUCGUCCCUUGUGACCGAAGUCAAGUCCACGGCCUCGGGUUGCCCAGGGGAACCUCCCUCUUCGCCUUCCACACUCUUCGGGUGGUGAAACCCUUAAUAAAGAGGCGAGGCUCUGAUACCAAUUGAAAGGAUCGAUAUGGUUGACUAGAGGGGGGUGAAUAGGCAACUACAAUUUUUAGCUUUUCUAAAUAAAUAUGGAGUAGCAAUCAUAAAGGUACACUAACAUGGCACUAGGAGAACAACCUAUAUGAUGCUACUUAGUAACGAGUAACGAAGCACGUAGGAGAUACUCUACAACACCAACAUAUACAAAGUAAAGGUAAGAGAUAACCACAAGUGGAACCGAUGAAGACGAGGAUGUGUUACCGAAGUUCCUUCCCUUUGACAGGAAGUACGUCUCCGUUGGAGCGGUGUGGAGGCACAAUGCUCCCCAAUAAGCCACUAGGGCCACCGUAUUCUCCUCACGCCCUCGCACAAUGCAAGGUACCGUGAUUCCACUAUAGGUGCUCUUGAAGGCGGCGACCGAACCUUUACAAACAAGGUUGGGGCAAUCUCCACACAAAGCUUGGAGGCUCCCAACAAGACCACGGAGCUUCACCAUAAUGUAAUGUGGCUCCGAGGUGACCUCAACCGUCUAGGGUGCUCAACCACCCAAGAGUAACAAGAUCCGCAAGGGAUUAGUAGGGGGAAUCAAAUAUCCUUUGGUGGAAGUGUCGAUCAAGGCCUUCUCAAGCAAUCCCUAGAAAAUCAACAAGGUUGAUUGGCUAGGGAGAGUGAUUGGGCUAAAAUGAGCUUGUGGAGCAACAAUGGAGCUUAGAGAGGUCAAAGGUAAGCUCAAGGAAGAAGGAGAUGCAUUUAUAUAGUGGGUGGGGCAGAUCCAACCGUUACCCACCUGCCACAUAAAUGCACGAGCGGUACUACCGCUUCCCAGAGCGGUACUACCGCUCAGCUCCUUACCAACCACGGUAGUACCGGGGGGUACUACCGCGCCACCUCCUCCGUAGGAAAGUAUGCGAGAAAAGGUCCGUCGGUGCGGUAGUAAAAUAAUACUACCGCACUGAGGGCGGUAGUACCGCUCCUGGAGCAGUAGUAAAAGUUUACUUCCACACCUGGGAUGGUAGUACCGCUCCUGGAGCGGUAGUAAAAAUUUACUACCGCUCUGAGAGCGGUACUACCGUUGUGCCAGCGGUACUACCGCUGGGACAGCGGUACUACUGCUUACCCCUUUUCACAUAGGCAGGAAAAAAACAAUGGUGCUCCAUUGAGGCUAAAAUAUGGGUGGGUGCAUGAGGUGUGUGCAUGAAGAUUCCACCCAAACCUUUCCGACGCGGACCCCCUCUUGGUACGAAGACUUUCCUAUGACUCAAACUAAGAAGAGAAAUGUAGAACAAAAUCCGUCUUCGAGAUCCUCCGAGGGGCGUCGAGUCAUCUUGUGCCUAAAGGAGAAUAUUCUGAAAUGCUCAGGACACAAGAUUAGUCCGCACAACAAUUGUCAUCAACCACUAAAACCACUUAGGAGAAAUAUGCCCUAACACCAUGCUUGACACUUCAUGUACCGGUUCUUUGAUGAAGAGAGAUAUUGACUUCAAAUGGAAUUUAUUGGAAAGAAUUAAACGCAACUAUGAACAUUGGGAGCUUGAUGAAGGUAAGGAGUGAGGUAUGAAUUUCAAGUUUGAUUGCGUUAAAUCCUUUGUUGAAACAAAUACUUUUUGUGAUUUUAGUGCUAAGUAUGGACUUGACUCUGAGAUAGUAGCAUCACUGUGUGAAUCAUUUGCUGCUCAUAUUGAUCUCCCCAAAGAGAAUUGGUUCAAAUAUCAUCCUCCCUUAGAAGUCAAUAUAGAUAAACCCAAUCCAGUUGAAGAGAAAGUCAUUGCCUAUAAUGAUCCUAUUGUUCCUAGUGUUUACAUUGAGAAACCACCUUUCCCUCUUAGGAUAAAGGAUCAUUUUAAAGCUUCAACUGUGCUACGUAGGGGCUACAUUAGAACACCUACACCCCUUGAGCAAAUUAGAAUUCAACCUGGCAUUGCUAUUAUCAAAGAUCUUCUGUCUGACAAUGUUGAGGGACAUGAUAUUCACUUCUGUGAAGGUGCUGCUAGAAUUGCUAAACCUCAUGCUAGAGAGAAACAUAGGCCUGUUGUUGGCACACCUGUUGUUUCUGUUAAGAUAGGAGAUCAUUGUUAUCAUGGCUUAUGUGACGUGGGUGCUAGUGUUAGUGCAAUACCUCAAUCCUUAUAUGAUGAAAUCAAAGAUGAGAUUGCACCUGUUGGGAUAGAACCCAUUGAUGUCACUAUCCAGCUUGCCAAUAGAGAUACUAUCUGCCCUGUGGGAAUUGUUAGGGAUGUUGAAGUCUUGUGUGGUAAAACGAAGUAUCCUGCUGAUUUCCUCGUUCUUGCUACCACCCAAGAUAUCUUUUGUCCCAUCAUAUUUGGCAGACCCUUCCUCAAUACCGUCAAUGCUCAUAUUUACCGUGAGAAGCAAACUGUCACUGUUGGCUUUGAAGGUGUGUCACAUGAGUUCAAUUUCUCCAAGUUUGGUAGACAACCCCAUGAAAAAGAGUUGCCUAGUAAGGAUAAAUCUAUUGCCCUCGCUUCUAUUGUCGUGCCUCCUACAGACCCUUUAGAGCAAUACCUGCUUGAGCAUGAAAAUGAUAUGCAUAUGGAUGAAAGGGAUGAGAUAGAUAGAGUUGUCUUAUAACAAUAUCCUAUCCUUCAGAAUAAUUUGCCUGUUGAACUACUUGGGGAUCCACCCCCACCAAAGGGUGAUCCUGUGUUCAAGCUUAAACAGUUGCCUGAUACUCUUAAGUAUGCUUAUCUUGAUGAAAAAGAGAUAUAUCCUGUUAUAAUUAGUGCUAGUCUCUCAGAGCAUGAAGAAAAGAAGUUACUAAAAACUCUAAGGAAGCACCGUGCUACUAUUGGAUAUACUCUUGAUGAUCUUAAGGGCAUUAGUCCCACUCUAUGCCAACACAAGAUUAAAACCGAUCCUGAUUCCAAACCAGUUGCUGAUCAUCAAAGGAGACUAAAUCCUAAGAUGAAAGAGGUAGUAAGAAAAGAAAUACUAAAGCUCCUAGAAGCAUGUAUUAUCUAUCCUGUUGCUCAUAGUGAUUGGGUGAGUCCGGUGCAUUGCGUCCCUAAGAAGGGAGGUAUUACCGUUGUCCCUAAUGAUAAUGAUGAAUUGAUCCCACAGAGGAUUAUUACUGGCUAUAGGAUGGUGAUCGAUUUUAGGAAAUUGAAUAAAGCCACUAGGAAAGAUCAUUACCGUUUGCCUUUUAUCGACCAAAUGCUAGAAAGAUUGUCUAAACACACACACUUCUGCUUUCUAGAUGGUUAUUCUGGGUUCUCCCAAAUUCCAGUUGCACAAUCUGAUCAGGGGAAAACCACUUUCACCUGCCCUUUCGGUACCUUUGCUUAUAGACGUAUGCCUUUUGGCUUAUGUAAUGCACCUGCUACCUUUCAAAGAUGUAUGAUGGCUAUAUUCUCUGACUUUUGUGAAAAGAUUGUUGUGGUUUUCAUGGAUGACUUCUCCGUUUAUGGGUCUUCUUUCGAUGAUUGCCUCAGCAACCUUGAUCGAGUCUUGGAGAGAUGUAAAGACACCAACCUUGUCUUGAAUUGGGAGAAGUGACACUUUAUGGUUAAUGAAGGCAUUGUCUUAGGACAUACAAUUUCUGAAAGAGGUAUUGAAGUCGAUAAGGCUAAAGUUGAUGCGAUCAAGAAAAUGCCAUGCCCCACAAAUAUCAAAGGUAUAAGAAGGUACCUUGGUCAUGCUGGUUUCUAUAGAAGGUUCAUUAAAGACUUCUCUAAGAUUUCUAGGCCUCUUACCAAUCUCUUGCAAAAGGAUAUUCCUUUUGUUUUUAACGAUGAUUGUGAGGAAGCCUUCGAAAUACUUAAGAAGGCCUUGAUAACCGCACCUAUUGUUCAACCACCUGAUUGGAACUUACCUUUUGAAAUCAUGUGUGAUGCUAGUGAUUAUGCUGUUGGUGCUGUCCUAGGGCAAAUAGUUGAUAAGAAGUUGAAUGUUAUUCACUAUGCUAGUAAAACUCUAGAUAGUGCCCAAAGAAACUAUGCUACUACUGAAAAGGAAUUUUUAGCAGUCGUGUUUGCAUGUGAAAAGUUCAGGUCUUACAUAGUUGAUUCCAAAGUCACUAUUCACACUGAUCAAGCUGCUAUUAAGUACCUCAUGGAGAAGAAAGACGCUAAACCUAGACUCAUCAGAUGGGUUCUCUUGCUACAAGAGUUUGAUUUGCAUGUUGUCGACAAGAAGGGUGCUGAUAACCCCGUAGCAGAUAACUUGUCUAGGAUGGAGAACGUUCUUGAUGACCCACAACCUAUUGAUGAUAGCUUUCCUGAUGAGCAAUUCAAUGUCAUCAAUACUUCUCGUAGUACAUCGUGGUAUGCUGAUUAUGCAAACUAUAUCGUUGCCAAAUAUAUACCACCUAGUUUCACAUACCAGCAAAAGAAGAAAUUCUUCUUUGAUUUAAGACAUUACUUUUGGGAUGAUCCUCACCUUUAUAAGGAAGGAGUAGAUGGUGUUAUUAGACGUUGUGUACCUGAAUAUGAACAGAGACAAAUCCUACAGAAGUGUCACUCUGAGGCCUACGGAGGACACCAUGCGGGAGGUAGACCUACACACAAGGUAUUCAAUCAGGUUUCUAUUGGCCCACUCUCUUCAAGCAUGCCCGCAAGUUUGUCUUGUCUUGUGACGAAUGUCAAAGAAUAGGUAAUAUCGGUAAACAUUAGGAAAUGUCUAUGAAUUAUUCACUUGUCAUUGAACCAUUUGAUGUUUGGGGCUUUGAUUAUAUGGGACCUUUUCCAAAAUCCAACGAGUAUACUCAUAUCCUAGUUGUUGUUGAUUACGUCACUAAGUGGGUAGAAGCUAUCCCAACUAGUAGUGCUGAUCACAACACCUCUAUCAGGAUGCUUAAAGAAGUUAUUUUCCCUAGAUUUGGAGUCCCUAGAUAUCUAAUGACCGACGGCGGUUCACAUUUCGUUGAUCACAACACCUCUAUCAGGAUGCUUAAAGAAGUUAUUUUCCCUAGAUUUGGAGUCCCUAUAUAUCUAAUGACCGACGGCGGUUCACAUUUCAUUCAUGGCGCUUUCCGUAAAACGCUUGCUAAGUACGAUGCCAACCAUAGAAUUGUGUCUCCCUAUCACCCUCAGUCUAGUGGUCAAGUAGAGCUAAGCAAUAGAGAGAUUAAACUAAUUCUGCAAAAGACUAUCAAUAGGUCUAGAAAGAAUUGGUCUAAGAAGCUCGAUGAUGCACUGUGGGCUUAUAGAACUGCCUAUAAGAAUCCCAUGGGCAUGUCUCCGUACAAAAUGGUGUACGGUAAAGCAUGUCAUUAACCUCUUGAGCUAGAGCAUAAGUCUUAUUGGGCAAUCAAAGAGCUCAACUUUGAUUUCAAACUUGCUGGUAAGAAGAGGUGAUUUGAUAUUAGCUCACUUGAUGAAUGGAGACCUCGGGCAUAUGGAAAUGGCAAGUUGUUCAAAUAAAAGGUUAAGAGGUGGCAUGAUAAAAGGAUACAAAAGCUUGAGUUCAAUGUAGGUGAUUAUGUCUUGCUAUAUAAUUAUCGGUUAAGAUUUUUUUGCAGGCAAGCUUCUCUCUAAAUGGGAAGGUCCUUACACUGUUGAGGAAGUAUAUCGUUCCGGUGCUAUCAAGAUCUACAACACGGAAGGUAAUUUUCCGAGAGUUGUAAAUGGGCAAAGAAUCAAGCAUUAUAUCUCAGGUACUCCCAUAAAUAUUGAAAGCAAUGUUAUCAAUACCAUAACUCCGGAGGAGUACAUAAGGGAUAUUUAUCAGCCUGUUUGAGACUCUGAAAACGAAGAGGUAUGUGAUUGGUAAGUAAAUAGACUCCAAAACUUUUCUAGUAGGAAUUUUUCUCCGUUUUGGAAUUUUUGAAAAAAUAGAAAAAUUUAAAGAAGUCCGGAAAGCGCACGAGGAAGCGACAAGCCUGCCAGGCACAUGCCACCCCCUGGUCGCGCCUGGGGGGCUUGUGGCCACCUCGUGUGCCUCUCGGACUCCGUUUUCUUGCGGAGUACUCCUUCUGUUUUCCCGUAAGGUCUGGCCCUCGUAUCACGCAAAUUUCCUCUGUUUUUGUUUCGAUCUGUUUUCUGUCGCAGAUUUAGAGCAAGAUGUCAUCUCAGGAAUCUAUGGGGGAGAACAAUCUCCCUCAAGUCUAUGAGAAGUAAAUGCUGAUCUAAAAAUAAUGGAGGUCAUGGAGGCUAAGGAAAGGCUACCUAAAGAAACCAAGGGCAAAACUAAGGAGGAGAAUCAGGCAUGGGACGAAGGGCAAUCUGUGUUCAACAAGGAAGAAGUUGAAGAAGUGGAUUUCCUUCAACCCUACAUACACCUAGUGUCUCCAUACUUGAUUGAACUUUUGAGAUUUUGUGAAAUAACUCGUGCUCGCAAUACUUAUCUCCAAGGUAUAAAUCAAAGAUUGAUGGCCCUCUUGGAAUCAAAGGACAAAACGACUCCACCACCAUCACCUCCAAAGGAAGAAAACUAAGCAUGGGUAUGGGCAAUCCCCUUGGCUUGUGCCAAGCUUGGGGGAGUUGCCCCGGUAUCGUAUCACCAUCACAUCUUUUGCCUUUACCUUUGUUUUAGUUCGUUCCUUUUUGGUUUUAUCUUUCUCUAGUAGAAUAAAGUUCUUAGUGUUUUAGGCUUGAGUUUUGCUUUGUGUCACCCACGAUGUAUUCGAGCUCGUGAGCCAUAUAAUAAAGAGUGUCUUAGUUAAGGGCCUUGCCUCAUGCCAUGAUCAAGAGAAUGAAAAGAACAAAAGCAUGAAAGAUCAUGUAAUCAUCUUAUGGGAAGUGAUGGCUUCACAUAUAAAAAAGAAUGUUGAUUGAAACUUGUUGAGGGUAGACAAACGUAGACCUUGGUCAUUGUUGCAAUUAAUAGGAAGUGAUAAAGAAGGAGAGGUUCACAUAUAAAUAUAUCAUCUUGGACACCAUCUAUGAUUGUGAACACUCACUAAACUAUUACAUGCUUAGAAGUAGAUGUUGGACAAGGAAGACAACAUAAUGAAUUGUGUUGGCUUGGUUCCGAACAAUGUUAUAUGACUAGAGAUCCCUUAGCAUAUGACGAUUGCUUCCACCUCAUAUUAGCCAAAACUCCCGCACCAAGUAGAGAUACUACUUGUGCAUCCAUAAACCUUCAACCCAAUUUUGCCAUGAGAGUCCACCAUACGUACCUAUGGAUUGAAUAAGAUCCCUCAAGUAAGUUUUCAUCGGUGCAAGCAAUAAGAAUUUCUCCCUUAAUAUGUAUGAUCUAUUAGUGUGUGGAAAAUAAGCUUUGUAUGAACCUGUGAUGAGGAAGACAUAAAAGCGACAGACUGCAUAAUAAAGUUAUUUAUCACAGGAGGCAAUAUAAAGUGACGUUCCUUCACACUAAGAGGACACGCAUCCAAACCUCAAAAGCGCAUGACAACCUUUGCUUCCCUCUGCGAAGGGCCUAUCUUGUACAUUUACUUUUUGCCCUUGAAAGAGUCAUGGUGAUCUACACCAAUUCCUUAUUUCGCCUUUAUCUUGGCUAACGUCAUAUGCUAGGGAAAGAUCUAUAUUCAUAUGUCAACUUGGAAGUAAGUAUUCAUGAACUAUUACUCUUGACAUUACCCUUGAGGUAAAUAGUUGGGAGGCAAAACUAUAAGCCCCUAUGUUUCUCUGUGUCCGACUGAAACUUUGAUCUCAUGAGUACCACGUGAGUUUUAGCAAUUGUAGAAGACAAAAGGAUGAUUGAGUAUGUGGAUUUGCUUUACAAGCUCUUAUUUGACUCUUUCCGAUGUUAUGAUAAAUUGCAAUUGCUUCAAUGACUAAAGGCUAUCGGUUGUUAAUUCUCGGUAUGGCUCUUGAUCCAUACUUUACUUUGUGAAGGAAUUAUCACUUUAGCAUAAGAGAUGAUAUGAUGAUAUUGUUGUUGUGAUUAUGAUCAUGAUGCCUGCAUGUCCGUAUCUUGUUUUGUUGACACCUCUCUCUCUAAACAUGUGGGCAUAUUUAUUGAUCUCGGCUUUCGCUUGAGGACAAGCGAGGUCUAAGCUUGGGGGAGUUGAUACGUCCAUUUUGCAUCAUGCUUUCAUGUUGAUAUUUAUCGCUUUUUGCGCUCUUAUUACACUUCACGGUACAAUACUUAUGCCUUUUCUCUCUUAUUUUGCAAGGUUUACAUGAAGAGGGAGAAUGCCGACAGGUGGAAUUCUGGCCUGAAAAAUGAGCAAGUUUGAGAUACCUAUUCUGCGCAACUCCAAAAGCCGUGAAAAUCAACGAGGAUUUAUUUUGGAUUUUAUAAAAAAUACUGGGCCGAAGAAGUACCAGAUGGGCGCGAGCAGGAGGCCACAAUCCUGGUAGGCGCGGCCUCCCCCCUGGUUGCGCCUAGGGGGCUUGUGGGCUCCCAGCUGGCCCUCUGGCCCCCCUCUUUUGCUACAAGAAGGGUUUCGUUCCAGAAAAAAAAUCAGGAGGAGGUUUUUCGGAGGAUUCGCUGCCGCCACGAGGCGGAACUUGAGCAGAACCAAUCUAGAGCUCCGGCAGGACGAUCCUGCUAGGGAAACUUCCCUCCCGGAGGGGGAAAUCGUCGCCAUCAUCAUCACCAACACUCCUAUCACCGAAGGGGACUCGUCACCAUCAACAUCUUCAUCAGCACCAUCUCAUCUCCAAACCCUAGUUCAUCUUUUGUAACCAAUCUCCGUCUCGCGACUCCGAUUGGUACUUGUAAGGUUGCUAGUAGUGUUAAUUACUCUUUGUAGUUGAUGCUAGUUGGAUUACUUGGUGGAAGAUUAUAUGUUCAUAUCCUUGAUGCUAUUCAUUACCUCUUUGGUCAUGAAUAUGAUUAUGUUUUGUGAGUAGUUACUUUUGUUCCAGAGGACAUGGGAUAAGUCAUGCUAUAAGUAGUCAUGUGAAUUUGGUAUUCGUUCGAUAUUUUGAUGUGUUGUAUGUUGUUUUUCUUCUAAUGGUGUUAUGUGAACGUCAACUACAUAACACUUCACCAUUAUUUGGGCCUAGAGGAAGGCAUUGUGAAGUAGUAAGUAGAUCAUGGGUUGCUAGAGUGAAAGAAGCUUAAACCCUAGUUUAUGCAUUGCUGCGCAAGGGGUUGAUUUGGAUCCACUAGUUUAAUGCUAUCGUUAGACUUUGUCUUAAUUCUUCUUUCGUAGUUGUGGAUUCUUGCGAGAGGGGUUAAUCAUAAGUGGGAUGCUUGUCCAAGUAAGGGCAGUACCCAAGCGUCGGUCCACCCACAUAUCAAACUAUCAAAGUAGCGAACGCGAAUCAUAUGAACAUGAUGAAAACUAGCUUGACAGAAAUUCCCAUGUGUCCUCGGGAGCGUUUUACCUUCUAUAAGAGUUUGUCCAGGCUUGUCCCUUGCUACAAAAGGGAUUGGGCCACUUUGCUACACCGUUGUUAGUUUUUUUACUUGCUACUUGAUGUGAAUCAUCUUGUCACACAACUACUUGUUAUCGAUAAUUUCAGUGAUUGUGGAUAUUACCUUGCUGAAAACCACUUGUGAGAUCCUUCUGCUCCUCUUUGGGUUCGACACUCUUACUUAUCGAAAGGACUAUGAUAGAUCCUCUAUACUUGUGGGUCAUUAGACCGAGAGUGUCUCGGUCAUGUCUGCAUGAUUCCCAAACCCGUAGGGUCUACACACUUAAGGUUCGAUGACGCUAGGGUCAUAGGGAAUUGUUAUACGAGGUUACCGAAUGUUGUUCGGACUUCCAGAUUAGAUCCCGAACGUCACGAGGAGUUCCGGAAUGGUCCGGAGGUAAAGAUUGAUAUAUAGGAUGGACGGGUUUGGACGCCGGAAAUGUUUCGGGCACCACCGGCAAAGUGUCGGGACCACCGGAAGGGUUCCGGAGGCCCACCGGGAGGGGCCACAAGCCCCGGAGGGCUACAUGGGCCAAGUGUGGUAGGGAACAAGCCCCUAGGUGGGCUGGUGCAGCCCCCCACACUCAGCCCAGGCGCACCAGAGAGGGAGGGAGGGGAAACCCUAGGCGCUGGUGGGCCUAAGGCCCACCUAGGGGUGCGGCACCCCCCUCUCCUCCCUGGCCGUCGCCCCCUCUCCCAUCUAGGUCUGCCGCCCCCCCUCAAGGGGGAAACCCUAAAGGGGGCACCACCCCCCUUCCCCUAUAUAUAGUGGGGUUUUGGCGUUUGGAGAUAUGGUUUUCCAUCUCUCUCUCGGCGCAGCCCUACUCUUCUUCUUCCUCCUCUCCCACGGUGCUUGGCGAAGCCCUGCCGGGAGACCUCGUCUCCCAUCGACACCAUGCCGUCGUGCUGCCGGAGAUCUUCCCGAACCUCUCCCUCCUCCUUUCUAGAUCAAGGUGCGGGAGACGUCACCAGGCUGCACGUGUGUUGAACGCGGAGGUGUCGUGGUUCGACACUAGAUCGGAAUCACACCGCGAUUUGAAUCGCCGCGAGUACGACUCCAUCAACCGCGUUCUAGCAACGCUUCGGCUUAGCGAUCUUCAAAGGUAUGAAGAUGCACUCUCCCCUCUCUCGUUGCUGGUCCCUCCAUAGGAAGAUCUGAAUAUGGCGUAGGAAAAUUUUGAAAUUUAUGCUACGUCCUCAACACUAGGACAUUUGUAUCUAAGAAUCUGGUAAUUUCCGCUUGAAUUGCUCGUACUCGUUCCUAUGGUAGAAGACCGUCUCGCAACCGUUCGAUCUGAUUUAAAGAAGGGGUCAAUAUAUAUCAAUGAAACCGAACACAAUUGACGGUAAUAAAAUAAAGUUGUGAGUAUUGUUUAUCGUACUUCAAUUUUUUUAUGUCCCGGUUUUUGCUCGUCUCAUGGGUCGUCUGGCGAAUGAACUCGCAAACAUAGUAUCCACAUAAAUUGUUCCCAUGUUUCCUGCCUCAGGCACUUUAUGUGAACAGAGUUCAAUAAAAAACAUAAUAAAAAGUGAUAAUGGUAUUGAAACUAGAAUAAAGAGAUGCACGGAUCUAGCUAGUAGUUACUUACAUCCAUUUGUCUAAAUGUAAGCUCUGGCUUCCAAACACCCCAACACUUGGCGGUGAACCGUUUCCCAGCCCUCCCAAGAAAAGGAAAUGAAUAAAGGAGUUCUAUAUUAAUUACUUGCUAUCAGAAAAUGAACGAAAAGUUGCCGAUAUAGUGCCAUAAUGAUUGAAAUUACGUGUGGAGGCAUUCCUGCAUGUUCGCCCAAUCAGCGAGGGAUGUGCGUUUCGGGUCCAUGACUUUUACUAGUCCAUCGUUAGGUACAAUGAUUAACAGAAUAAAGUGGAACCUGCGCACUGAUAUCCCACAAGUAUAGGGGAUCGUGUGUAGCCUUUUCGAUAAGUAAGGGUCUUGAACCCAACGAGGAGCUAAAGGUGGGAUAAAUAUUCUCUCAAGUUCUAUCAAUCAUUGACACAACUCUCCGCACACUAAAAGUUUUGCAAUAUCUAGGAGAUAAAACUAGAGUGAAAAUACGGGUAUGAGAGAAAGCUUUGCAAGAUAAUAAAUACAAGAAAGUAAAUGUUAGUGCUGCAGCGAUAAAAUAUACUAAGUAACCAUAAACUAAUAGUACCAUGAGUGCGGAAAAGUGGUGGUAAUUGUGGUGGAAUUGUCCAUGAUCAAAUAGUCAAAUACAAGGUUGAUAUUCCUCUUUUAUGUGGGAGAGGCAAAGCUAACAAGCUCUCACUAUCCAAUGAUUGCAAGUACUUAUGAUUGGAACUCUAGCAAACAUUCGUAAAUACUAGAAGAUACAUUAAGGUAAAAAUACCCAACCAUAAGAUCAAAAGGUCCUCUUUAUCCCAUAUGCGUUGAUCACUAGAUUGGGGCUCAUGUUUCUGCCACUCAAGCAGCCCACCCUCUAGCUUUAUCCACAUACUACAAACCCUAUGAUGUGAUCCAUGCGCGCAUAAACAUAUGAUGGGUACCAUAGGACUAUAACAAAUUCAAUAUAUAUCUCAAACCAUCCAUGGAGAUUCAACAAUCAAUCAUAUGACAAAAGGAACUACACAAACAUGACAUAGAUGCAAUAGAUCAUUUGCAAAUAUUUUAUAACAUCAAACACCAUGUUUACAUAGGGGAUUACGGAGGUUUGUGGGAGAGUGGACCACUAUAGCUAUGGAGGAGAUGAUGAUGGAGGUGUUGGUGAAGGCCGAAUCAUGGCGGAGAGGAUGGAGAAGGGGCGGCACGUGAGGUGCAGGGCUGCGCCGGCGGCCGUGGGGCUCCUCCUGCGCCGGCCGACCGUCAUGGGGGAGCGCAUCCCCUUAGACCCCUUCCUCCAUGGUUCUUGGUGCUGUUUAUGAGCCCUCCCCCAUGGGAUGAGUCCAUGAGGGAGGCAAAAUUUGUGACUUUUGGUGGCUGCCGAGAAAUCAGGGUUCCUUGGCCCUCCGAUGGAUGCCCCUUUGAUCCAAGGGCACUUGGGCACCUCUAAAACCUUCCUAGGGACCCCUCUCAGCCCUAAUGAGGUGCCAAAGUCGUGGCUUGGCCGAAUCCAUCAAAUAUGGUAAGAGUUGGACUCAAUCAUGUCACCGAUUCCCGUAAUCCCGUAAUCAGAUAUUUGUCCUCCAGUAAAAUGGGCUUUAAUGAAGCGUCCGAACUCCAAAUGGGCCGAAUUGUAUGCCUAAUAUUAUCAGAAUAAAAUUCCCCACACUUUUGUCUUUGGUGAGAUUUCCGUUUGAGGCCCUCUUCGACCCGAAACGUGGCAAUCUUUAAAAAGCAUUUUCACACAGAUUUCAGGAAAGUCCUAAUUCGACUCCAACAAGGUUUCCUCUUCUAUUUUUGAUAGUUCCUACACAUAAAAGUGUAAAAUAAGAACAUUGUGCACUUUUGCAACUAUUAAUAGGUUAGUCCAAAUAAAUCAUAAACUUAAUAUAAAAACAAUUACCAAAAGCAUAAAAGUAGCAUGAAACCAUAAAAAAUUAUAGAUACAUUUUGGACGUAUCAACAUCCCCAAGCUUAGUUCCUACUCGUCCUUGAGUAGGUGAAACGAUAAAAACAAAAUAAUUUUUGAGGUGACAUGGUACCAACAUAAUCUUGAUCAUCAUAUUUGUAAAAUCAUGUGUAAGCUGAGAUCAUAGCAAUCUAAACAUAGGCAUGAUAGAUAUAAUUCUAACAAUGAAACUUAGCAACCAUGUUUCAACAUGAAAGGUAACGCAAACAAAAGAUCAUGAAUAAUAAUGCACUUGAAAGUUAUAAGUUUGUUUUGAGCAUAAAGAAAACAUAGCAAAGUGGUAUUUCGCUUCUCCUUAAGAGUGGAGCAAAACAUAAAUGCCAGGACACCUUCAAAGUUCAAGUGGAUGACUAGACCAAAUUAUUUGAGAGCUAGUAAUAACACAUCAUGAAUCAGUCAAUAAUAAAUUUUGCAACUAUGCACAUUAUACUCAGAAUGACAACUCUGCUCUCUUAAUUGAUGCAUUAAGUUAGAAGAUGAAGACUCAACAUAAAAGUAAAAGAAAGGCCCUUCACAGAGGGAAGCAGGGAUUAAUCAUGUGAUAGAGCUUUUAGAGAUUUUUGAAAUCAAUAAGAUUGUAAAACAAGCUUUUGGGAGUGCAUAAUCCGUCAACGAAUGUUAGCAAAUAGUUCAAUACUUCUCAUGCUGGACAAGUUCUGAGGAACGGCUCCCAAAGUGGGGACGGUAACACCCCCUUAGCCUCGUUUGUUUAUCACUAUUCUGAUUUCUCAUGAACAAAGCGUGAAGGAGGUUUUGUUUGUUGCUAUUAUCUUUUACGAGCUGGGCGCGCUCAUGCCAGUCCCUCCUCGUAUUAGGGGUUCGCAGAUUAGACAUGCAAACCCAAGAUAAAGCUUGUCCAGUAUGAUAACAUCAUGAAUUAUCUACUAGUUCCUCAUGAGCUAAAACAGAGUCACAAAACAUGAAUAAUUUUGAAAAUUUUAAAGGUAACACAUGAGAAAUUUACUUGGACUGGCGGUUAAAUACCACAUGUAGGUAGGUAUGGUGGAAACAUUUGGCAAACUUUGGUUUUUGGGAGUUGGAUGCACGAGUAGUGUUAAUACUCAGUACAGGUGGAGGCUAGCAAAAGACUAAGAGUGACAAAUUAAGAGAGCAAUAAUGUCCAUAAUCAUGCAUAGCGACAAAAACAUUAUUAAUCAAAGCAUAAAUGGCAUUACAAGUCGAAAAAUAAAUGAUCAUAGAGGCUAUAAGUGACUGGUUUGUAGUCAUAACAUGGUGUGAGCAUGCGCCAAGUCAACCCAAAUGAAGUAGUAAAGGAGAAUACCAUAAUAUUAUGCUUCGAUAUGAUAAAAAACGACACAUGAUUCUUUCAAUGGCACUUUAAGCACUCUCAGUUAUUUGAGACAAGUUAUGCUACAUCAAUAAUUACUAAGCAUAUAAUUAAGAUAAUAUCUAACAUGACAUGUUAAAGUCUAAGCCACAGUCUAAACGAGCUUUCUAUUGCACCACUAUAAGCAUGGAAUAUUUUACUCUUCUCCAACACCAAUAAACUUUCUUGAACAACUCUCAUAGAUAAUAUUAAUUAAAGACAAGAGAGAUAAUCAUAUAUAUAUCUGAAGCAAACUAACAAGCUCUAAACAAAAUAUGAGUGGAAGACAAGAGCUAAACGCAGUACUAGCAAAAAGUGAACACUCACAGAACAAUAAGAGUGAAAACUAGAGUGUUCUAAGCAAUUAAAACGGAGCGUGUCUCUCUUCAAACUAAUAUGCUGGGAUCCAACCAUUUAUUAAAGCAAAGAAAACUACACAAAGUGAGAAGUAAAGAGCGGGAUGCUCCAAACAUAGCACAUAACAUAUGAAGUCAUAAAAAUGUAGUAUGGAGAAGGACAAACUGAUGAUUGUUGAUGGAGAAGGGGAUGCACGGGGGCAUCCCUAAGCUUAGACGCUUGAGUCUCCUUGAAUAUUUCUUGGGGGUGCGAUGGGGGGAUCCCCAAGCUUGAGCGCUUGACACUCCUGGAUCUUCUUUCAUCAUCUUUCAUCGCAUACUUGAAAACUUCCUUCAUACGAAACUCAUCAUAAGCUGAUUAGAGUGGUUAGUGCCCGUAAUAAAAGAAUUUAUUCUCUUAUGGAAAUAAUAUUUUCAGGAAGAUCUACUAUUUCUAAAUAUUGCCAAAAGUUUCUUGCAAAAAAAAGCAAGCUUAAGAUUUGCAAAACAAUGAAAACGCAGAACAGGGCAGAAUCUGGAAAAAAGAGACCAACAGGUAGUAAAUAAUUUUUUCGAGGCACUUAUGCAACUCAAAUCAAAAAACUCAGAACAGAUGCCAAAAAGUAAAUUAUAUAGAGCAUACUUCCAAAAACAUUCAGAUCAAAAAGAUGAUCUGGUGUUUUUUGGCGAAGUUUUCUGUCAAGCAGACAAAAUCUGUUCUUGGACAACAUGUCACAACUUUUGAACUUUCUUGGAAUCGGAGGCUAAAACUUAGCACAAAAAACGAAAUAAAAAGGAUAAGGAGAGGUUGAUACAUAGGUAACAACUUCCAAGACUCAAAGAAAACAAAAGAAGCUGAAAUAAAAAAAACAUGAAAACAUAAGGAAAACAAAGUGGGUUGCCUCCCACAAGCGCUUUUCUUUAACGCCUUUUAGCUAGGCAUGGAAAAAGGAGGGAUGCGUUGGGCAUCCCUGUAACGCCCCGGACAAACCCGCCGGCGGUCGUUACUCCUGGCGGGAUCUAGACUGGCCCCACAUAUCAAUACUAGUCUUUUCUGCGCACUUCGUCCUCACUCAUGCGCACCUGGGACCAACUGCCCGGUCGUCACCCAUCCUAGAACUACUCCAAGCCAAGCACGCUUAAUCCUUAUUGAUAUGAGUACUCUAUCAUCCCUAAUAAGCCAGGCUAUCACAUACACCACCACUCAGAAGAACCGACAUCCUCGUCGGGCCACAGGAGCGUUCCCUCUUGGCACAAACGUCUGUGCAUCGAGUCCAGUACAUGUGCAAUGUCGUGUUCCAUGACGGGUCACAAACGUCAUGAACAACAUGACUGCGCACCUGUCCGCAAACAUCCAUGUAACCGCGAGGGUCGGCUCUGAUACCAAACUUGUACAUCCCCGGACACACCCGCCGGCGGUCGUUACUCCUGGCGGGAUCUAGACUGGCCCCACAUAUCAAUACUAGUCUUUUCUGGGCACUUUGUCCUCACUCAUGCGCACCCGGGACCAACUUCCCGAUCGUCACCCAUCCUAAAACUACUCCAAGCCAAGCACGCUUAACAUGAGAGUUUUGUUUGACUAGGCUCCCAGAAAAGAAGGAAUUCCUUAUUGAUAUGAGUAGUCUAUCAUCCCUAAUAAGCCAGGCUAUCACAAUCCCCAAGCUUUGAUGAUUGAAUAUUCUUGAAUACUUCAUUGAUGUGAACUUGGGAGUCCCCAAGAUUGAGCUUUUCUCUUCACAUUCAUCUCGUAUCACCAUCUCCAUUGGAUCUUAAAUACUACAUUCACAUAAAACUUGACAAAAACUCAUUAGUAGGGUUAGUACUCAUUAAAUAAAACCCACUAAAGCGUCCAUUUUGCAUCAUGUUUUCAUGUUGAUAUUUAUCGCUUUUUGGGCUGUUAUUUCACUUCAUGGUACAAUAUUUAUGCCUAUUCUCUCUUAUUUUGCAAGGUUUACAUGAAGAGGGAGAAUGCCCGCAGCUGGAAUUCUGGCCUGAAAGUGGAGCAAGUUUGAGAUACCUAUUCUAUGCAACUCCAAACGCCGUAAAAAUCAUCGAGGAUUUUUUUUCUAGAUUUAUAAAAAUACUGGGCCGAAGAAGCGCCAGAGGGGCGCCAGCAGGUGGCCACAAGCCUGCUAGGCGCGGCCACCCCCCGUGGUCGCGCCUAGGAGGCUUGUGGGCAGCCUGCUGGCCCACUGGCCCCCUCUUCUGCUAUAUGAAGGGUUUCGUCCGGAAAAAAAAUCAGGGAGGAGCUUUUUCGUGGAUUCGCCGCUGCCACGAGGCAGAACUUGAGCAGAACCAAUCUAGAGCUCCGGCAGGACGAUCCUGCCGGGGAAACUUCCUUCCUGGAGGGGGAAAUCGUCGCCAUCAUCAUCACCAACACUCCUCUCAUCGAAGGGGACUCGUCACCAUCAACAUCUUCAUCAGCACCAUCUCAUCUCCAAACCCUAGUUCAUCUCUUGUAACCAAUCUCCGUCUCGCGACUCCUAUUGGUACUUGUAAGGUUGCUAGUAGUGUUGAUUACUCUUUGUAGUUGAUGCUAGUUGGAUUAUUUGGUGGAAGAGUUUAUGUUCAGAUCCUUGAUGCUACUCAUUACCUCUCUGGUCAUGAAUAUGAUUAUGCUUUGUGAGUAGUUACUAUUGUUCUUGAGGACAUGGGAUAAGUCAUGCUAAUAGUAGUCAUGUGAAUUUGGUAUUCGUUCGAUAUUUUGAUGUGUUGUAUGUUGUUUUUCCUAUAGUGGUGUUAUGUGAACGUCGACUACAUAACACUUCACCUUUAUUUGGGCCUAGAGGAAGGCAUUGGGAAGUAGUAAGUAGAUGAUGGGUUGCUAGAGUGAUAGAAGCUUAAACCCUAGUUUAUGCGUUGCUUCGUAAGGGGUUGAUUUGGAUCCACUAGUUUAAUGCUAUGGUUAGACUUUGUCUUAAUUCUUCUUUCAUAGUUGUGGAUGCUUGCGAGAGGGGUUAAUCAUAAGUGGGAUGCUUGUCCAAGCAAGGGCAAUACCCAAGCGCCGGUCCACCCACAUAUCAAACUAUCAAAGUAAAGAACGUGAAUCAUAUGAACAUGAUGAAAACUAGCAUGACAGAAAUUCUUGUGUGUCCUCGGGAGCGUUUUUCCUCCUAUAAGACUUUGUCCACGCUUGUCCCUUGCUACAAAAGGGAUUCGGCCACUUUUCUGCACCGUUGCUACUUUUGUUACUUGUUGCUUGCUACGACUCAUCUCGCCACAUAAUCACUUGUUACCGAUAAUUUCAGUGCUUGUAGAUUUGACCUUGCUGAAAACCACUUGUCAGAUCCUUCUACUCCUCGUUUGGAUAGACACUCUUACUUAUUGAAAGGACUACGAUUGAUCCCCUAUACUUGUGGGUCAUCAAGACUCUUUUCUGGCGUUGUUGCCGGGGAGUGAAGCGCCUUUGGUAAAUGGAACUUGGUAAGGAAACAUUCAUAUAGUGUGCUGAAAUUUAUUGUCACUUGUCACUAUGGAUACUAAUCCUUUGAGGGGCUUGUUCGGGGUACCUUCACCUCAAACAGAAGCACAAAUAGUUUCUCCUCAACCUGCUGCACCUACUGAAAAUAUUUGCUUUGAAUUUCCUUCGGGUAUGAUUGAGAAACUUCUGGCUAAUCCUUUUACACGAGAUGGAACAUCACAUCCAGACUUGCAUCUAAUCUAUGUAGAUGAAGUUUGUGGUUUAUUUAAGCUUGCAGGUUUGCCCGAGGAUGAGGUCAAUAAGAAGGUAUUUCCUUUAUCUUUGAAGGAUAAUGCGUUGACAUGGUAUAGGCUAUGUGAUGAUACUGGAUCAUGGGACUACAAUCGAUUGAAAUUGGAAUUUCAUCAAAAGUUUUAUCCUAUGCAUUUAGUACAUCGUGAUCGAAAUUAUAUUUAUAAUUUUUGGCCUCGUGACAGAGAAAGCAUCGCUCAAGCUUGGGGGAGGCUUAAAUGAAUGCUAUAUUCAUGCCCCAACCAUGAGCUCUCGAGAGAAAUUAUCAUUCAGAACUUCUAUGCUCGGCUUUCUCAUGAUGAUCGCACCAUGCUUGACACUUCUUGUGCCGGUUAUUUUAUGAAGAGAGAUAUUGACUUCAAAUGGAGUUUAUUGGAGAGAAAUAAGUGCAACUCUGAAGAUUGGGAGCUGGAAGAAGGUAAGGAGUCAGGUAUGAAUUACAAGUUUGAUUGCGUUAAAUCCUUUGUUGAAACAAAUACCUUUAGUGAUUUUAGCGCUAAGUAUGGACUUGAAUCUGAGAUAGUAGCUUCACUGUGUGAAUCAUUUGCUGCUCAUAUUGAUCUCCGGAAAGAGAAGUGGUUUAAAUAUCACCCUCCUUUAGAAGUCAAUGUAGUUAAACCCAAUCCAGUUGAAGAGAAAUUCAUUGCCUAUAAUGAUCCUGUUGUUCCAAGUGCUUACAUUGAGAAACCACCUUUCCCUGUUAGGAUAGAGGAUCAUUCUAAAGCUUCAGCUGUGAUACGUAGAGGCUACAUUAGAACACCUACACCCCCUGAGAAAAUUAGAGUUGAAACUAGUAUUGCUAUUAUCAAAGAUCUUUUGUCCGACGAUGUUGAUGGACAUAAUAUUCACUUCUGUGAAGAUGCUGCUAGAAUUGCUAAACCUCACGCUAGAGACAAACAUGGGCCUGUUGUUGGCAUGCCUGUUGUUUCUGUUAAGAUAGGAGAUCAUUGUUAUCAUGGCUUAUGUGACGAGGGUGUUAGUGUUAGUUUAAUACCUCAAUCCUUAUAUGAUGAAAUCAAAGACGAGAUUGCACCUGUUGAGAUAGAACCCAUUGAUGUCAUUAUUCAGCUUGCCAAUAGAGAUACUAUGUGCCCUGAUGAAAUCAAAGACGAGAUUGCACCUGUUAAGAUAGGAAUUGUUAGGGAUGUUGAAGUGUUGUGUGGUAAAACGAAGUAUCCUCCUGAUUUCCUCAUUCUUGCUACCGCACAAGAUAGCUUUUGUCCCAUCAUAUUUGGCAGACCCUUCCUCAAUAAGCAAACUGUCACUGUUGGCUUUGAAGGUGUGUCACAUGAGUUCAAUUUCUCUAAGUUUGGUAGACAACCUCAUGAAAAGGAGUUGCCUAGUAGGGAUGAAACUAUUGCCUUAGCUUCUAUUGCCGUACCUCCUACUUAUCCCUUAGAGAAAUACUUGCUCGAGCAUGAAAAUGAUAUGCAUAUGGAUGAAAGGGAUGAGAUAGAUAGAGUUGUCUUAGAACAAUAUCCUAUCCUUAAGAAUAACUUUCCUGUUGAACUGCUUGGGGAUCCACCCCCACCCAAAGGGUGAUCCUAUGUUCGAGCUUAAAUAGUUCCUGAUACUCUUAAGUAUGCUUAUCUUGAUGAAAAAGAGAUAUAUCAUGUUAUUAUUAGUGCUAGCCUCUCAGAGCAUGAAGAAAAGAAGUUACUAAAAACUCUGAGAAAGCACCGUGCUGCUAUUGGAUAUACUCUUGAUGAUCUUAAGGGCAUUAGUCCCACUCUAUGCCAACACAAGAUCAAAACUGAUCCUGAUUUCAAACCAGUUGCUGAUCAUCAACAGAGAUUAAAUCCUAAGAUGAAAGAGGUAGUAAGAAAAGAAAUACUAAAGCUCCUAGAAGCAGGUAUCAUCUAUCCAGUUGCUCAUAGUGAUUGGGUGAGUCCAGUGCAUUGCGUCCCUAAGAAGGGAGGCAUUACCAUUGUCCCUAAUGAUAAGGAUGAAUUGAUCCCACAGAGGAUUAUUACUGGCUAUAGGAUGGUGAUCGAUUUUAGGAAAUUGAAUAAAGCCACUAGGAAAGAUCAUUACCCUUUGCCUUUUAUCGACCAAAUGCUAGAAAGACUGUCUAAACACACACAUUUCUGCUUUCUAGACGGUUAUUCUGGUUUCUCCCAAAUACCAGUUGCACUGAUCAGGAGAAAACCACUUUCACCUGCCCUUUCGGUACCUUUGCUUAUAGACGUAUACCUUUUGGCUUAUGUAAUGCACCUGCCACCUUUCAAAGAUGGAUGAUGGCUAUAUUCUCUGACUUUUGUGAAAAGAUUGUUCAGGUUUUCAUGGAUGACUUCUCCGUUUACGGGUCUUCUUUUGACGAUUGCCUCAACAACCUUGAUCGAGUCUUGCAGAGAUGUAAAGAUACCAAUCUUGUCUUGAAUUGGGAGAAGUGCCACUUUAUGGUUAAUGAAGGCAUUGUCUUAGGACAUAAAAUUUCUGAAAGAGGUAUUGAAGUCGAUAAGGCUAAGGUUGAUGCAAUCGAGAAAAUGCCAUACCCCACAGAUAUCAGAGGUAUAAGAAGUUUCCUUGGUCAUGCUGGUUUCUAUAGAAGGUUCAUUAAAGACUUCUCUAAGAUUUCUAGGCCUCUUACCAAUCUCUUGCAAAAGGAUAUUUCUUUUGUUUUUGACGAUGAUUGUGAGGAAGCCUUCAAAAUAGUUAAUAGGGCUUUGAUAACCACACCUAUUAUUCAACCACCUAAUUGGAACUUGUCGUUUGAAAUCAUGUGUGAUGCUAGCGAUUAUGCUAUUGGUGAUGUUCUAGGGCAAAGAGUUGACACGAAGUUGAAUGUUAUUCACUAUGCCAGUAAAACUCUAGACAGUGCCCAAAGAAACUAUCCCACUACGGAAAAGGAGUUUUUAGUAGUCGUGUUUGCAUGUGAAAACUUCAGGUCUUACAUAGUUGAUUCCAAAGUCACUAUUCACACUGAUGACGCUGCUAUUAAGUACCUCAUGGAGAAGAAGGACGCUAAACCUAGACUUAUCAGAUGGGUUCUCUUGCUAAAAGAGUUUGAUUUGCACGUUGUCGAUAGGAAGGGUGCUGAUAACCCCGUAGCAGAUAACUUGUCUAGGUUGGAGAACAUUCUUGAUGACCCACAACCUAUUGAUGAUAGCUUUCCCGAUGAGCAAUUGAAUGUCAUCAAUGCUUCACGUAGUGCACCAUGGUAUGCUGAUUAUGCAAACUAUAUCAUUUCCAAAUAUAUACCACCUAGUUUCACAUACCAGCAAAAGAAGAAAUUAUUCUAUGACUUGAGACACUACUUUUGAGAUGAUCCCCGCCUUUAUAAGGAAGGAGUAGAUGGUGUUAUUAGACGUUGUGUACCUAAACAUGAACAGGGACAGAUCCUACAUAAGUGUCACUCUGAGGCCUACGGAGGACACCCUGCGGGAGAUAGAACUGCACACAAGGUAUUGCAAUCAGGUUUCUAUUGGCCCACUCCCUUCAAGGAUGCGUGUAAGUUUGUCUUGUCUUGUGACGAAUGUCAAAGAGUAGGUAAUAUCGGUAAACGUCAAAAAAUGCCUAUGAACUAUUCACUUGUCAUUGAACCAUUUGAUGUGUGGGGCUUUGAUUAUAUGGGACCUUUUCCAAAAUCCCACGGGUAUACUCACAUCUUACUUGCUGUUGAUUACGUCACUAAGUGGGUAGAAGCUAUCCCCACUAGUAGUGCUGAUUCAUACGUCUCAAACGUAUCUAUAAUUUUAUAUGGUUUCACACUGUUAUCUUGUCAUCUUUGGAUGUUUUAUGUACCUUUUAUAUCUUUUUUGGGACUGACUUAUUAAUUCAGUGCCAAGUGCCAGUUCCUGUUUUUCCUGUGUUUUUGGCUCUUUUCAGAUCUGAUUUUGGAAUGGAAUCCAAACGGAAUAAUAUCCCCGAAAUGAUUUUAUUCUGAACGGAAGAAGAUCAGGGGGCCUGUGGGCCAAGCCAGGAGGGCUCCUGGGAGCCCACAAGCCCGCACUCCGCCACCAGGGGGAGGCGGCGGUGGCAGGGCUUGUGGCCUCCCUGAGCGCCCCCUGACCUAGAUCUUUGGCCUAUAUAUUCCCUAAAAUACAGCAAAAAAUCAGGGGAGCCUCAAAAAUACUUUUCCGCCGCCGCAAGCUUCCGUUUCCGCAAGAUCUCAUCUAGAGACCCUUCUCGGCACCCUGCCGGAGGGGACUUUGGGGUUGGAGGGCUUCAUCAUCAUCAUCAUCGCCCCUCCAAUGACUCAUGAGUAGUUCACUUCAGACCUACGGGUCCGCAGUUAGUAGCUAGAUGGCUUCUUCUCUCUCUUGGAUCUUCAAUACAAAGUUCUCCAUGAUCUUCAUGGAGAUCUAUCCGAUGUGAUCUUCUUUGGCGGUGUGUUUGUCGAGAUCCGAUGAAUUGUGGAUUUGUGAUCAGAUUAUCUAUGAUAUAUAUUUGAGUCUUUGCUGAUUUCUUAUAUGCAUGAUUUGAUAUCCUUGUAAGUCUCUCCGAGUCUUGGGUUUUGUUUGACCAACUAGAUCUAUGAUUAUUGCAAUGGGAGAAGUGCUUGGUUUUGGGUUCUACCAUGUGGUGACCUUUACCAGUGAGAGUAGAGGCAGCAAGGCACACNUUCUUCAUCAUCAUCAUCGCCCCUCCAAUGACUCAUGAGUAGUUCACAUCAGACCUACGGGUCCGCAGUUAGUAGCUAGAUGGCUUCUUCUCUCUCUUGGAUCUUCAAUACAAAGUUCUCCAUGAUCUUCAUGGAGAUCUAUCCGAUGUGAUCUUCUUUGGCGGUGUGUUUGUCGAGAUCCGAUGAAUUGUGGAUUUGUGAUCAGAUUAUCUAUGAUAUAUAUUUGAGUCUUUGCUGAUUUCUUAUAUGCAUGAUUUGAUAUCCUUGUAAGUCUCUCCGAGUCUUGGGUUUUGUUUGACCAACUAGAUCUAUGAUUAUUGCAAUGGGAGAAGUGCUUGGUUUUGGGUUCUACCAUGUGGUGACCUUUACCAGUGAGAGUAYAGGCAGCAAGGCACACAUUAAAUAGUUGCCAUCAAGGCUAACAAGAUGGGCUCUGUCGUUGAUAUGAGAUUGUCCAUCUACAUCAUGUCAUCUUGCUUAAGGCGUUACUCUGUUCUUUUGGACUUAAUACACUAGAUGCAUGCUGGAUAGCGGUCGACGUGUGGAGUAAUAGUAGUAGAUGCAGAAAGUAUCGGUCUACUCGUUUUGGACGUGAUGCCUAUAGAUAUAAUCAUUGCCAUAGAUAUCGUCACGACUUUGCGCGGUUCUAUCAAUUGCUCGACAGUAAUUUGUUCUCCCACCGUCUACUUGCUUUCAUGAGAGAAGCCACUAGUAAACACUACAGCCCCGGGGUCUAUUCACAUCUAUCGUUUACACCUCCGCUUUUACUUUGCUUUGUUACUUUGUUGCUUUAAGUUCUCACUUGGCAAACAAUCUAUAAGGGAUUGACAACCCCUUCAUAGCAUUGGGAGCAGGUUCUUUGUGUUUGUGCAGGAUCUUGUGAUACUCCUCCACUGGAUUGAUACCUUGGUUCUCAAACUAAGGGAAAUACUUACCACCGCUCUGGUACAUCACCCUUUCUGCUUCGGGGGAACACCAACGCAAGGCUCCAUACCAUAGCAGAAGGAUUCCUGGUGCCGUCGACACGACUAUUCCUGUCGCCGUUGCCGGGGAAGCACAACUGACAUCAGAAGUAUUUUUGGCGCCGUUGCCGGGGAGGAGAGAUCAAGAUCUAUCUAAGUAGGUCUCACAAACUCAUCUCUUGCAUUUACUUUCGUUGCCAGUUGCCUCUCGUUUUCCUCUCCCCCACUUCACAUUUGCCGUUUUCAUGUGCCUUUCUCCUUUGCCUUUUUCGUUCGCCCUUUUCUCUCGUUUGCCUUUACGUUGCGUGUGUGCUAUGUGCCUUCAAUAUGCUUGCAUCUUCAGUUGCUGAAAAUCUAGUGAUAUGGAUCCUCAUCCACUUGCUAAUCUCUUUAAGAGACCCACUUAUGUGGAACGAAUUGCUAGUAAGUUGAGGGCACUUGACUAUCUUUAUGGAGUUUUGCUUGAGAUGCGUGAAUCUGAAAAUUGUGAGGAAGAAAUUUAUGAAGUGAUUCACGAGGGAUCCUUGGAUGAAAAGCAUGGUUUCACUAUAAAUCCUAUUAGUGAAAAUCAUGCUAAAAAUAUGCAAAACCAAAAGCUUGGGGAUGCUAGUUUUGCUAUGUCCCCUACUUGUUGCAAUAAUCAUGAUUGGGGUGAUGAUCUUUCUUAUGAUGUUGAAAAUUUGUUUAAGCCUCAUGAUGAGUAUGAUAUUUGCAACAAUAUUGAAAGUGGGAUUGGAGAAGUCAUGACUUUAUUUGAUGAUAAUCCCCUUAUUUUUGAAGAACGUCAACUUUGCAUGCAUGUGGAUCAUGAAAAGAAUAUCCUAUGUGAUAGUUACAUUGUUGAAUUCAUUCAUGAUGCUACUGAAAAUUACUAUGAGAGAGGAUCAUAUGCUUCUACGUAUUGCAAUAGUAUCAAGCUUCCUCUCCAUGUGUUGAAAUUUUUGAAGCUAUGCUUGUUUUGCCUUCCUAUGCUAGUUGAUUCUUGCUCCAACAAGUUGUUUGUUCACAAAAUCCCUAUGCAUAGGAAGUGGGUUAGACUUAAAUGUGCUACCAUAUGCUCCAUGAUGCUCUCGUUGUGUUUCAAUCCUUACCUUUUAUGUGAGCAUCAUUGAAAUCAAUUCCUAGCUAAGGGCCUUAAACAAAAGCGCUUGUUGGGAGGCAACCCAACGAAUCUAUCCAUUUUCUUUCUGUUUUGUGUUUUCCACACUUUCAUAAUUCUGUUAUGAUUGUGUUUUUUGUGUUUCUUUUUGCGUUUGUGCCAAGCAAAAUCGUUAUGAUUAGUCUUGGGGAUGAUCGUUUGGUCAUGCUGGAAAAGAUAGAAACUGUAUGCUCACGAAAAGAAUUUUCAUUUUUUUCUGUAAGAGCUUUUGAGUUGAUUAUUUUUGCUACUGAUUGCUACGCAAAUUCUUCAGACUUUCGUAAUUUUUCAGAAUUUUUGAAGUACCAUAGGUAUACGAAAUAUACAGAUUGCAACAAACUAGUCUGCUGUUAACAGAUUCUGUUUUUGUUGUUUUGGUUGCUUAUUUUGAUGAAACUAUGGAUAGUAUCGGGGGGUAUUAGCCAUGGAAGAUUUAAAAUACAGUAACCCAACAUCAGCACAAGUAGAAUUUAAGUUUGCUACAGUACCUAAGGAAGUGGUUGUUUGCUUUCUCAUACUAAUGUUAUCACGAGUUUCUGUUUAAGUUUCGUGUUGUGAAGUUUUCAAGUUUUGGGUGAAGUUCUUAUGGACAAAGAGAUAAAGAGUGGCAAGAGCUCAAGCUUGGGGAUGCCCAAGUCACCCCAAGAGAUUCAAGGAUGCCGUAAAAUCCUAAGCUUGGGGAUGCCCCGGGAAAGCAUCCCCUCUCUCGUCUUCAAUCCAUCGGUAACGUUACUUGGGGCUAUAUUUUUAUUCACCACAUGUUAUGUGUUUUUGCUUGGAGCGUCUUGUAUCGUAGGAGUCUUUUAUUUCUGUUGUGUCACAAUCAUCCUUGCUGCACACCUAGAGAGAGACAUGCACUCACCGUGAUUUUGUCGAGCUUCACUUAUAUCUUUUGGUAGACAAUUCAGCUCACAUGUGCUUCACUUAUAUCUUUUCAGCUAGAUACUUUCGCUCUAUGUGCUUCACUUAUAUCUUUUAGAGAACAGCGGUGCGUGGCUUGGUAGUUGAUCUAUGCUUUGAAAGUAGUUUCAAAAGGGGUAUUAGCCAAAGGGAUACGAAAACUUCCACCUUCAUGUGCAUUGAAUAGUUAGAGAAGUUUGAUUCAUCUCAAUCAGUUUUGAGUUGUGGUUAUGGUAAUAUUGAAGUCAUGCUAGUAAGGUGUUGUGGAUCUAGAAAUACUUGUGUUGAAGUUAGUGAUUCCCGUAUCAUGCACGUAUGAUGAACCGCUAUGUGAUGAAAUCUGAGCAUGAUUAGUAUAUUGAUUGUCAUCCUUUGCGUCGCGGUCGGAAUCACGCGAUGGUUUAUACCUACCAACCCUUCCCCUAGGAGUAUGCGUUGAAUGCUUUGUUUCGAUUACUAAUAAAACUUUUGCAACAAGUAUAUGAGUUCUUCAUGACUAAUGUUGAGUCCAUGGUUUAGAUGCACUUUCACCUUCCACCAUCACUAUCUUCGUAGUGUCGUGCAACUUUCGCCGGUGCACAAAACCCACCAUUAACCUCCCUCAAAUCAGCCACCAUACCUACCUACUAUGGCUUUUUCAAAGUCAUUCCGAGAUAUAUUGCCAUGCAACUACCACCAUGACAUGUGCUAGCACGUCAACAUUGCCAUUGCAUGAUCGUAAGAUAGCUAGCAUGAUGUUUCCAUUAAUGUCUAUGGCAUGCUAGAUCGUUGUCACGGUACACUACAUAAGGCAUUUCAUAUAGAGUCAUCGUUGCUCUAAGUUUUGAGUUGAAAGUGUGAUGAUCAUUAUUGAUGGAGCAUUGUCCCAUGUGAGGAAAUAAAACAGGCCAAAGAAGCCCACCAAAAAAAAGAGGCCAAAGAGCCCACAAAAAAAAUGGGAGAAAAAAAGAGAAGGGACAAUGCUACCACUUUUUCCACACUUGUGCAUAUUAAGCACCAUGAUCUUCAUGAUUGAGAGUCUCUCGUUUUGUCACCACCAUAUAGCUAGUGGGAAAAUCUUCAUUAUAUAACUUGGCUUGUAUAUUCCAAUGAUAGGCUUCCUCAAAAUUGCCUUAGGUCUUCGUGAGCAAGCAAGUUGGAUGCACACCCACUAGUUUUCUUUAAGAGCUUUCACAUACUCUUAGCUCUAGUGAAUCAUUUGUAUGGCAAUACCUACUCAUUCACAUUGAUAUCUAUUGAUGAGCAUCUCCACAGCUCAUUGAUAUGCCGAGUUAAUGUGACUAUCUUCUCCUUUUUUGUCUUGCAACAUCCACCACACUCCACACCAUCUAUAGUGCUAUAACCAUGGCUCACGCUCAUGUAUUGCGUGAGAGUUGAAAAGGUUUGAGAAAUUAAAGGUGUGAAACAAUUACUUGGCCAAUACCAGGGUUGUGCAUGAUUUAAAUUCGUUGUGCAAUGAUGAUAGAGCAUAGCCAGACUAUAUGCUUUUGUAGGGAUAACUUUCUUUUGGCCUUGUUAUUUUGAAAGUUCAUGAUUACCUUGAUAGUUUGCUUGAAUUAUUAUUGUUUCCACGUCAAUAGCAAACUAUUGUUUUGAAUCUAAUGGAUCUGAACAUUCAUAUCACAUAAGAGGAGUUACAAAGGACAUCUAUGCUAGGUAGCAUGAAAGUAUAAAAAAUUCAUUCUUUAUCACUUCCCUACUCGAGGACGAGCAGGAGUUAAGCUUGGGGAUGCUUGAUACGUCUGAAACAUAUCUAUAAUUUUAGAUGGUUUUACGCUGUUAUCUUGUCAUCUUUGUAUGUUUUAUAUACCUUUUAUAUCUUUUUUGGGACUAACUUAUUAAUUCAGUGCCAAGUGCCAGUUCCUGUUUUUCCUCUGUUUUUGGCUCUUUUCAGAUCUAAUUUUGGAACGGAGUCCAAAUGGAAUAAAAUCCCCGAAAUGAUUUUAUUCUGAACGUAAGAAGAUCAGGGGGCCUGUGGGCCAAGACAAGAGGGCUCCUGGGAGCGCACAAGCCCCCACUCCUUCACCAGGGGGGAGGCGGCGGUGGCAGGGCUUGUGGCCUCCCUGAGCGCCCCCUGACCUAGAUCUUUGGCCUAUAUAUUCCCUAAAAUACAACAAAAAAUCAGGGGAUCUCAUCUGGAGACCCUUCCCGGCACCCUGCCGGAGGGGACUUUGGAGUUGGAGGGCUUCUUCAUCAUCAUCAUCGCCCCUCCAAUGACUCAUGAGUAGUUCACAUCAGACCUACGGGUCCGCAGUUAGUAGCUAGAUGGCUUCUUCUCUCUCUUGGAUCUUCAAUACAAAGUUCUCCAUGAUCUUCAUGGAGAUCUAUCCGAUGUGAUCUUCUUUGGCGGUGUGUUUGUCGAGAUCCGAUGAAUUGUGGAUUUGUGAUCAGAUUAUCUAUGAUAUAUAUUUGAGUCUUUGCUGAUUUCUUAUAUGCAUGAUUUGAUAUCCUUGUAAGUCUCUCCGAGUCUUGGGUUUUGUUUGACCAACUAGAUCUAUGAUUAUUGCAAUGGGAGAAGUGCUUGGUUUUGGGUUCUACCAUGUGGUGACCUUUCCCAGUGACAGUAGGGGCAGGAAGGCACACAUUAAGUAGUUGCCAUCAAGGGUAACAAGAUGGGCUCUGUCGUUGAUAUGAGAUUGUCCAUCUACAUCAUGUCAUCUUGCUUAAGGCGUUACUCUGUUCUUUUGGACUUAAUACACUAGAUGCAUGCUGGAUAGCGGUCGACGUGUGGAGUAAUAGUAGUAGAUGCAGAAAGUAUCGGUCUACUCGUUUUGGACGUGAUGCCUAUAGAUAUAAUCAUUGCCAUAGAUAUCGUCACGACUUUGCGCGGUUCUAUCAAUUGCUCGACAGUAAUUUGUUCUCCCACCGUCUACUUGCUUUCAUGAGAGAAGCCACUAGUAAACACUACGGACCCGGGUCUAUUCACAUCUAUCGUUUACACCUCCGCUUUUACUUUGCUUUGUUACUUUGUUGCUUUCUGUUCUCACUUGGCAAACAAUCUAUAAGGGAUUGACAACCCCUUCAUUGCGUUGGGAGUAGGUUCUUUGUGUUUGUGCAGGAUCUUGUGAUACUCCUCCACUGGAUUGAUACCUUGGUUCUCAAACUGAGGGAAAUACUUAGCACCGCUGUGCUACAUCACCCUUUCCGCUUCGAGGGGACACCAACGCAAGGCUCCAUAGCCGUAGCAGAAGGAUUCCUUGUGCCGUCAACACGACUAUUCCUGUCAUCGUUGCUGGGGAAGCACAACUGACAUCACUGAUCACAACACUUCUAUCAGGAUGCUUAAAGAAGUUAUCUUUCCUAGAUUUGGAGUCCCUGGAUAUCUAAUGACCGACGGUGGUUCACAUUUCAUUCAUGGUGCUUUCCGUAAAACGCUUGCCAAGUACGAUGUCAACCAUAGAAUUGCGUCUCCCUAUCACCCUGAGUCCAGUGGUCAAGUAGAGCUAAGCAAUAGAGAGAUUAAACUAAUUCUGCAAAAGACUGUCAACAGGUCUAGAAAGAAUUGGUCUAAGAAGCUCGAUGAUGCACUGUGGGCUUAUAGAACUGCCUAUAAGAAUCCCAUGGGCAUGUCUCCGUACAAAAUGGUGUACGGUAAAGCAUGUCAUUUACCUGUUGAGCUAGAGCAUAAAGCUUAUUGGGCAAUCAAAGAGCUCAACUUUGAUUUCAAACUUGUUGGUGAGAAGAGGUUAUUUGACAUUAGCUCGCUUGAUGAAUGGAGAACUCAGGCAUAUGAGAAUGCCAAGUUGUUCAAAGAGAAGGUUAAGAGGUGGCAUGAUAAGAGGAUACAAAAGCGUGAGUUCAAUGUAGGUGAUUAUGUCUUGCUAUAUAACUCUCAUUUAAGAUUCUUUGCAGGCAAGCUUCUCUCUAAAUGGGAAGAUCCCUAUGUUGAUGAGGAAGUAUACCGUUUCGGUGCUAUCAAGAUCAACAACACGGAAGGUCAUUGUCCGAGAGUUGUAAAUGGGCAGAGAAUCAAGCAUUAUAUCUCAGGUACUCCCAUAAAGGUUGAAAGCAAUACCAUCAGUACCAUAAUCCGGAAGAAUACCUAAGGAACAUUUAUCAACCUGUUUCAGACUCCGAAAACGAAAAGGUAUGUGAUUCGGUAAGAAAACAGACUCCAAAACUUUUCUAAUAGGAAAUUUUCUCCGUUUUGGAAUAUUUGAAAAAAUACAAAAAUUGGAAGUAGUCCGGAAAGUGCGCGAGGAGGCGACAAGCCAGCCCGGCGCGGGCCCACCCCCUGGCCGCGCCUGGGGGGCUUGUGGCCAAUCUCGUGCGCCUCCCAGACUCCGUUUUCGUGCGGAGUACUCCUUCUGGUAUGGAAAAAUUCAAUAUAUAUUCUCCCGUUUGGUCUGACCCCUCUAUCACUCAGAUUUCCUCUGUUUUUCGUUUCGAGUCUGUUUUCUGCUGCAGAUUUAGAGCAAGAUGUCGUCCUAGGAAUCUGUGGGGGAGAACAAUCUCCCUCAAGUCUAUGGAGAAGUACAUGCUGAUCUGAAAAGGAUAGAGGUCAUGGAGGCUAAGGAGAGGUUACCUAAAGAAACCAAGGGCAAAGCUAAGGAGAAGAACCAGGCAUGGGAUGAAGUGCAAUUUGUGCUCAACAAGGAAGAAGUUGAAGAAGUGAAUUUCCUCCAACCCUACCUCCACGUACUGUCUCUAUCCUUGAUUGAACUCUUGAGGUUUUGUGAAACAACUCGCGCUCGCAAUACUUAUCUCACUCGUGAAGUUGUUUUGCUGGAAAAACAUAUCACAGAUUUCCAAGGUAUAAAUCUAAGAUUGAUGGCCCUCUUGGAAUCAAAGGUUGCAACAACUCCACCACCAUCACCACCAAAGGAAGACAACUAAACAUGGGCAUGGGCAAUCCCCUUGGAUGGUGCCAAGCUUGGGGGAGUUGCCCCGGUAUCGUAUCACCAUCACAUCUUUUGCCUUUACAUUUGCUUUAGUUUUCCUUUUCAGUUUUCUUUUUCUCUAGUAGUUUUAAAAAGUCUUAGUGUUUUAGUCUUGAGUUUUGCUUUGUGUCACCCCAGAUGUAUUCGAGCUCGUGAGCCAUAUAAUAAAGAGUGUCUUAGUUGAAGGGCUUUGCCUCUUUCCAUGAUCAAAAGAGUGAGAAAAGAACAAAAGCAUGAAAGAUCAUGUAAUGAUCUUAUGGGAAGUGAUGGCUUCAGAUAUAAAAGGGAUGAUGAUUGAAACUUGUUGAGGGUAGACAAACGUAGACCUUGGUCAUUGUUGCAAUUAAUAGGAAGUGAUAAAGAAGGAGAGGUUCACAUAUAAAUAUAUCAUCUGUGCCACCAUCUAUGAUUGUGAACACUCACUAAACUAUUACAUGCCUAGAAGUAGAUGUUGGACAAGGAAGACAACAUAAUGAAUUGUGUUUGCUUGGUUCCGAACAAUGUUAUAUGAUUAUAGAUCCCUUAGCAUGUGACGAUUGCUUCCACCUCAUAUUAGCCAAAACUCCUGCACCAAGUAGAGAUACUACUUGUGCAUCCAUAAACCUUCAACCCAGUCUUGCCAUGAGUGUCCACCAUACCUACCCAUGGAUUGAAUAAGAUCCCUCAAGUAAGUUGUCAUCGGUGCAAGCAAUAAAAAUUGCUCUCUAAUAUGUAUGAUCUAUUAGUGUGUGGAAAAUAAGUUUUAUACGAACCUGUGAUGAGGAAGACAUAAAAGCGACAGACUGCAUAAUAAAGUUCUUUAUCACAUGAGGCAAUAUAAAGUGACGUUCCUCCGCACUAAGAGGACACACAUCCAAACCUCAAAAGCGCAUGACAACCUCUGCUUCCCUCUGCGAAGGGCCUAUGUUGUACCUUUACUUUUUGCCCUUGAAAGAGUCAUGGUGAUCUUCACCAAUUCCCUAUUUCGCCUUUAUCUUGGCUACCGUCAUAUGCUUGGGAAAGAUCUAUAUUCAUAUGUCAACUUGGAGGUAAGUAUUCAUGAAUUAUUAUUGUUGACUUUACCCUUGAGGUAAGCAGUUGGGAGAUGAAACUAUAAGCCCCUAUCUUUCUCUGUGUCCAGCUGAAACUUUGAUCUCAUGAGUACCACGUGAGUUGUAGCAUUUGUAGAGAACAAAAAGAUAAUUGAGUAUGUGGAUUUGCUUUACCAGCUCUUAUUUGACUCUUUCUGAUGUUGUGAUAAAUUGCAGUUGCUUCCAUGACUAAAGGCUAUCGGUUGUUACUUCUCGGUAAGGUUCUUGAUCCAUGCUUUACUUUGUGAAGGGGUUGUCACUUUAGCAUGAGAGAUUAUAUGUUGGUAUUGUUGUUCUGAUCAUGAUCAUGAUGCAUGCAUGUUCGUAUCUUGUUUUGUCGACACCUCUAUCCCUAAACAUGUGGACAUAUUUAUUGAUCUUGGCUUUCGCUUGAGGACAAGCGAGGUCUAAGCUUGGGGGAGUUGAUACGUCCAUUUUGCAUCAUGUUUUCAUGUUGAUAUUUAUCGCUUUUUGGGCUGUUAUUUCACUUCACGGUACAAUACUUAUGUCUAUUCUCUCUUAUUUUGCAAAGUUUACAUGAAGAAGGAGAAUGUCGACAGCUGGAAUUCUGGCCUGAAAGUGGAGCAAGUUUGAGAUACCUACUCUGCGCAACUCCAAACGCAGUAAAAAUCAACGAGGAUUUUUUCCGGAUUUAUAAGAAAUACUGGGCCGAAGAAGCGCCAGCAGGUGGCCACAAGCCUGCUAGGCGCGGCCACCCCGUGGCCGCGCCUAGGGGGCUUGUGGGCAGCCUGCUGGCCCACUGGCCCCCCUCUUCUGCUAUAUGAAGGGUUUUGUCCGGAAAAAAAAUCAGGGAGGAGCUUUUUCGUGGAUUCGCCGCCGCCACGAGGCGGAACUUGAGCAGAACCAAUCUAGAGCUCCGGCAGGACGAUCCUACCGGGGAAACUUCCUCCCAGAGGGGGAAAUUGUCACCAUCAUCAUCACCAACACUCCUCUCAUCGGAGGGGACUCGUCACCAUCAACAUCUUCAUCAGCACCAUCUCAUCUCAAAACCAUAGUUCAUCUUUUGUAACCAAUCUCCGUAUCGCGACUCCGAUUGGUACUUGUAAGGUUGCUAGUAGUGUUGAUUACUCUUUGUAGUUGAUGCUAGUUGGAUUAUUUGGUGGAAGCGUUUAUGUUCAGAUCCUUGAUGCUACUCAUUACCUCUCUGGUAUUGAAUAUGAUUAUGCUUUGUGAGUAGUUACUUUUGUUCCUGGGGACAUGGGAUAAGUCAUGGUAAUAGUAGUCAUUUGAAUUUGGUAUUCGUUCGAUAUUUUGAUGUGUUGUAUGUUGUUUUUCCUCUAGUGGUGUUAUGUGAACGUCGACUACAUAACACUUCACCUUUAUUUGGGCCUAGAGGAAGGCAUUGGGAAGUAGUAAGUAGAUGAUGGGUUGCUAGAGUGACAGAAGCUUAAACCCUAGUUUAUGCGUUGCUUCGUAAGGGGCUGAUUUGGAUCCACUAGUUUAAUGCUAUGGUUAGACUUUGUCUUAAUUCUUUUUCGUAGUUGCGGAUGCUUGCGAGAGGGGUUAAUCAUAAGUGGGAUGCUUGUCCAAGUAAGGGCAGUACCCAAGCGCCGGUCCACCCACAUAUCAAAUUAUCAAAGUAACGAACUCGAAUCAGAUGAACAUGAUGAAAACUAGCAUGACAGAAAUUCCCGUGUGUCCCCGGGAGCGUUUUUCCUCCUAUAAGACUUUGUCCAGGCUUGUCCCUUGCUACAAAAGGGAUUGGGCCACUUUGCUGCACCGUUGCUGCUUUUGUUACUUGUUGCUUUCUACGAAUCAUCUCGCCACAUAAUCACUUGUUACCGAUAAUUUCAGUGCUUGCAAAUUUUACCUUGCUGAAAACCACUUGUCAGAUCCUUCUACUCUUCGUUGGGUUCGACACUCUUACUUAUCGAAAGGACUACGAUUGAUCCCCUAUACUUGUGGGUUAUCACCCACUCAUGUUCAAGCAUUGACAAGUUUCAUAAUAUUUGCUCAACAUUAGCCACUGUAUAUACUAAGGUGUUCAUGAUUUCCGUUGUUCGUCGAAAAACUAAUGAAACUAAUAACGCUAAGUACAAUAUUGAAUAAAGUAAGAAAUGUGUCAAAACUGAACAGUCUGUAAAGAUGACACUCAACGAGAUAGUUAGGUAGCUCAAAAUAAAAAAACUCCAAACUAAUGAAAAACACAUCAUAAUCUCAGGUUUAUGCACAAAAAAUUCAGAUCAAAAUACUAUCAUGAGAUUUAUCAUGAUUUUUUACACUGAAGCACAUGAAAUCUGUUUAAACAUAACAGUCAGUAAAGAUCGAAUUAUUAGACCUAUCUACGCACCUCAAAUCAGAAAAGUCAAAACUAAUGAAAGUAACGUAAUAAACAGUACUUUGUACUAAAAAAAUAUCAGAUCAAGAUCACGUUGUGAUGAUAUUUCAAAUUUUCUACGGUGGAGCACGGAAAUCUGUUUUUAGGCAGCAAAGUGGCAAACUUGCAUCAUAAACAAACUAGAAGUUAUCUAUACAUUUUAUUUUUAUGGUACAGAGAAAUAUGUACAAUAUAUACACAAUAUAUACAAGUGUUUAACUGAAAAGCUUCCAUGGAAAGAAUUGUUUUGGUUUCAUAGGCAUGAACACAAGUGUUCAAGGUCGAUCCCCACUUAACCAUUACUCAUCUUUCCAAUCACUUUCCUUUUUGAAAACGUUUUUAGAUAACAAGUACAACUAAUUUAUUUUUGUAAUCCGCAUUACCUAUCCAUAUAAAGAUAGACAAAAACUUAAAACUUAAAGUAAAACUACUUACAGACAAAGCAAAUAAGUGCACACAAGAACAUUCAUCCCACGCUAUUGCUCCCUGGCAAUGGCGCCAGAAAAGGUCUUGAUAUCCCACAAGUAUAGGGGAUCGUGUGUAACCUUUUCGAGAAGUAAGAGUGUCGACCCAACGAGGAGCUAAAGGUGGGAUAAAUAUUCUCUCAAGUUCUAUCAACCAUUGACACAACUCUACGCACACUAAACGUUUUGCAAUAUCUAGGAGAUAAAACUAGAGUGACAAUACGGGUAUGAGAGAAAGCUUUGCAAGAUAAUAAAUACAAGAAAGUAAAUAUUAGUGCUGCAGCAAUAAAAUAUACUAAAUAACCAUAAACUAACAGUACCAUGAGUGCGGAAAAGUGGUGGUAAUUGUGGUGGAAUUGUCCAUGAUCAAAUAGUCAGAUACAAGGUUGAUAUUCCUCUUUUAUGUGGGAGAGGCAAAGCUAACAAGCUCUCACUAUCCAGCGAUUGCAAGUACUUAUGAUUGAAACUCUAGCAAACAUCCGUAAAUACUAGAAGAUACAUUAAGGAAAAAAAUACCCAACCAUGGCAUUAAGAUCAAAAGGUCCUCUUUAUCCCAGAUGCGUUGAUCACUAGAUUGGGGCUCAUGUUUCUGUCACUCAAGCAACCCACCCUCUAGCUUUAUCCACAUACUACAAACCCUAUGAUGUGAUCCAUGCCCGUAUAAACAUAUGAUGGACACCGUAGGACUGUAACAAAUUCAAUAUAUAGCUCAAACCAUCCAUGGAGAUUCAGCAAUCAAUCAGAUGACAAAAGGAACUACACAAACAUUACAUAGAUGCAAUAGAUCAUUUGCAAAUAACUUAUAACAUCAAACACCAUGUUUAAAUAGGGGAUUACAGAGGUUUGUGGGAGAGUGGAACGUUGUAGCUAUGGAGGAGAUGAUGAUGGAGGUGUUGGUGAAGGCGGCAUCAUGGCAGAGAGGGUGUAGAAGGGGCAGCACGUGAGGUGCAGGGCAGCGCCGGUGGCCGGCGGCGGCCCAGGGGCUCCUUGUGCGCCGGCCGACCGUCAUGGGGGAGCGCCGCCCCUUACCCCCCUUCCUCCAUGGUUCUUGGUGCUGUAGAUGAGACCUCCUCCAUGGAGAUGAGUCCGUGGGGGAGGCAAAUUUCGUGCCUUUUGCUGGCUGACCAGAAAUGAGGGUUUUCCUCUCCUUAUAUGAGCUGGGACGAUCAUCCUUGGCCCUCCGAUGGAUGCCCCUUUGAUCCAAGUGCUCUUGGGCACCUCUAAAACCUUCCUAGGGACCCCUCUCAGCCCUAAUGAGGUCCCAAAGUCGUGGCUUGUCCGAAUCCAUCAAAUAUGGUAAGGGUUGGACUCUCACGUCACCGAUUCCCGUAAUCCGGUAAUCAGAUAUUUGUCCUCUAGUAAAACGGGUUUUACUGGAGCGCACGGACUCCAAAUGGACCGAAUUUUAUGCCUAAAAUUAUCAGCUUAAAAUUCCCCACACUUGUUUCAUGUGUGAUAUUUCCGUUUGAGGCCGUCUUCGACCCGUAACGUGGCAAUCUUUAAAAAGCGUUUCAGACAAAUUUCAGAAAAGUACCAAUUCGACUUCAACAAGGUUUCCUCUUCUAUUUUUGAUAGUUCCUACACAUAAAAGUGUAAAAUAAGAACAUUGUACACUUUUGCAACUAUUAAUAGGUUAGUCCAAAUAAAUCAUAAACUUAAUAUAAAAACAAUUAUCAAAAGCAUAAAAGUAGCAUGAAACCAUAAAAAAUUAUAGAUACGUUUUGAACGUAUUGCGCACGCAUAACGAGUCAAUUAUACACUUAAUAACAUCGAGUAAGCAAAAAUAGAGUGUGUGUAGUAACACUCACUUCAAGUUGUAAGGAAAUAGUAUUGCCUUUUUGGUAGCGGAAAACCUUAAUCCUUGUACCAAGUUAUUAUCUGUCUCGCGGAAUCGGGUGCGAGACUUUUGUCAUGAAUGAAAUAUGGGUCAAUGAACCCAAUGUCAUAGAUUCGUCCUCUUUUGUAUUCGAGAAUUUUCAUUCUGCAAAAUUAAUAUAGUGAUGAGUAAGAUUAUACAUGCAAUGAACAAGCUGAGUAAGACUUAUUGACAUAAAUUAAUAAUACUUACAAACAAUAGGCAUUGAUGAUAGAAUUGUCGAGGGCGUCUUGUUUGUAUAAUUGAAAUAAUUCGUCGAAUUCAAUCAUUAGCACGCCUUCUCCAUGCCCAUAAUGCUCGUUUUAUAUGCACAGUAGAUCCAGCUUUGCUAUUCAACAGAUGUUCGCAUGUACCAGUCAUGCAAUCUUCGCAUUUUUGUUGGUAGCUCGUUGACUAACUCAGGUUUGACAAGAGGAGACCCGUGCCGGUAUACGUAUCUUACGUCAGCGAAAUCCUGUAUAUGGUUUAAGUACCGAUCGAUAGACAUGCCAUGAGCCUUGGCCGCUUUUCCGUAUAGUGUAACAAAGUCCGGAUCGAUAUCAGCUGUUUCAUCAUACCUCUGCUCGACCGGAGCUCUGCUCGAGCACACCUUUGUAUCGGAAUACACUUUGAGCGGGGGUCACGAUUGGUUUUUCUGUUGUCCGAGCUGGGCAACUGAUUUCCCGUUGGAUGUACUACUCUUCAACCGCUGCUUUUUUGCCUCAGACGACUUGAGAAUAGAGUGUUCAUAGUCUGCUGUCAACGAUGGCGGGGGAUCUGCAAGGGUAUUCAGUAUUUUCACGCACGAGGCGUGAUAUUUUGGGCUGUCCGGGAACUCUGGCUCUUUCGGCUUCUUCUUGUUAGCCAUGUCAGCCAUCCACUAUUGAUACUGGGUGUUUGCCCUCUUCUUAUUUUCCUAUCAACUAUAGUCCCAAGGUCUCAUCUCCAUAUCCUUAUGAGGUACUUUUGGGAGGGGCGACAACUUACGUUUCGUUGAUCGGAAUCCCUUUCUGCCCCCACUAUUAGCGGUGGUACAUUUCCGCUUUUUUGCUUUGAUCCUCAGUGGACGAAGACGGCUGACGGGGCAGUGGAGACGACUGAUGCGGCUGUGGAGACGGCUGCGCUGGAGACUGGUGAGGCGGCGAAGACGACGGUUGCGCUGGAGACUGGUGAGGCGGCGAAGACGACGAUUGCGCUGGAGACUCGUGAGGUGGAGGCGAAGAAGGAUUGUUGCUCUGAGGAGUCGGUGGCCUUGGUGGCCAGUUUGGAAGCAAGAUGUGCUCCUUUGGCCAUACAACGGUGUGUUUCUUGACUUCUCCAAGUUUAGUCAAAUCCCUAUCUUCACCUGCAGGGUAGUCCAGCUUCAGCUCCUCAUAAUCUUUCACCACUUCAUCCACCGCGACGACUGCGUACCCUUUUGGAACCGGAGAAAAAUGCCAAGUUGGAUUAUGUCCAAUUGGUAUGACCAUGCCGACCGCCACCGUCAAUCUUAAGUUAGCAACUUUCACCUUUAGCUCACAAGGUGUGCUUUCUGUGAUAUCAUCCACUAGGUAGCGACGAGGAGGAGCCGUCGUGAGUGCAUCAUCAUCACCAUCAUCCUGGAGCUACAUCGAAGCGACACUGCUUUUCCGAUUUGAUGUAGCUUCUAUGAUGAGCCGCUGAGAUUGGCCGCUACCUUGCUGGCUAAGUGUGUUGAUUUGAUCUUGUUGCAGCCGCUUUACUGCUUCUUCUACAUUAUGUAGCCGGUCUGCAACAGCCGCUUCCUCAGCUGUCUUAUUUUCCUUUCUCCUCUGAUGGCUUCUAUCGGGAAAUAUCUUCCUUUCCUUGGAAAACGCAAGCAUCCACGGCGGGAAGCCUGGUAAGCCUCGUGCUCGUCCUAUGUGUCCAUCAUUCCCAAGGGCGUGUGAGAGCUUGUCGUUCUCUCUAUCGGAAAUGAACCGUCCCUCUUCAACAUCCUUUACUGCACUUCUAAUGUUCUCGAUGGGUAGUAGGGGAUUAUCUUUGUGUCUUUGGUUAUAUAUUGCCUUCCCUUCUGCGUCCAACAUGCCCCCAUGUCCGUAAAAUCAGUUUCUUGACCGUUCGAUCCAUGUUAAAGGCUCUCGAGUGAUAUUGUUAGCCAGAGAUGGUGCCUCAAGUGCGUCCCACUUAGACAUGUUACCGGUGUAGCCAGUAGGCCCCAUAAUAUGGUGGUACUUCUUCAUACAUGCAUUCCUCUUAUUUGUUACAGACUUUUUCAAGGUGUCCUCCAAUUUCUUGUACGCCACAAAUUCGGCCGAGUAGUCUUUUAUCUUCUCAUAGCUGCUAUCGAAAUCUGGAGACUUAUCUUGCAAGAUAAAAUCCUGGUGCAAUCUUUUCUUCCAGCCCCUGAAUAGAUCGUCUAUCUUCUUAAGAGCCCCUUGACUUUUUUUCUCUAAGGCCUCUUUUCGCCUCUUCAUUUCCUCCUCAUUUGGCUCCUCCUCAUCUGGAUCCACCUCUGGCGCCGGUAGGGUGAAAUGAAGCAUGAGCUUUCUGCAAAGGUUUUCUUUGGCUACUGUGCCGACAUAUGAGACUCCUUCCUCC